AGUACGGGGGGUCCGGUGAACCAGGUGCAACGCCGGCGUGUGUUCCGAUUUCAGAGGAGGCCUGGGGGCUGUAUACGUUGUACUCACCUUUUGGGCCGGCUGAAUCGGCCAUGUGAGUGCCGACACACGUUUGGUUACCCAGACGAAGUCGUCCUGGCGGUGGAUGACGAGCGACGUCGCCUGGGGAAGCCGCCGACCGCUUGGGUAGACAGCUAGAGGAGGCCAGGGAGGUGGCCCACGAUCAGGAUCUGCGCAUUAGAGAGAUGGAGCAGAGCUUCAGAGAUGAGGAGGAAAGGACGGACGCUUUUCGUCUUCAACUCCACGACACACACCAGCACCUCUUCACUAUGAAGGGGCAGCUGAGGGAGCGGGCCCGGGGGAUCUUGCUGGACUGUGAGGUCUUGCUAGAUGUGACCGCGGAGACACCACCAUGAGCUAUCGCUCCAGAACCAAUGGAUGAGGUGGAUACUCUAGGCUCUGUUGGGGAUUGGGGCCCUAGGGGGGCACGUAGGGCCGCUGUUUGACUUUUCUUUUGAAUAUCUGACAUGCUUUGGUUAUAGCUAGUAGGGCUGGUUUCUUUUGUUAUCUGGUUGGUUGACUGGAUUUUGGAGCCGAAGUGCUCAUGCAUUUAAUGGAUUUUGUACGACGGGAUGUCGGAUAACUUGUAUAUCUUUUGGUGUGACCUUGUAAAUAUAUGUAUAUAUUUGAGUACAAUCUUUUGGGUUUAUCUUUUGCAUGUCUUUCGUGUAUGUACAUUUAUAUUUUGUGUUCUUUAUUUUGUUCAUAUCUCGAAUAAUAAGUACACAUUAUGUUUCAAUUUAUAGACUUUUGAACUUAAAUGGACUCCGGCGGUCGAGGUAGAGGUAGAGGGCGAGGACGAGACCCUGAUGGGGAAAAUGAGAAUGAGUCGGAUUAGGUAGCUACAGCCAUCCAGCGAAUGGCUGACCUGUUAGAACGAAUGGUUAACCAACAGGGUCAGGGCCAGGGAAAUAAUGCCGGAAACCCUGGAAAUAAUGCGAGUAAUCAAGAGGGAGAGGACCAUGCCUUAGAACGGUACCAAAAGUUUACACUCCCGAAAUUUGUAGGCGGGCCCAAUCCUGACUUAGCGGAGGGUUGGUUGGACCGUAUGUUAGAUAUAUUUGCCGCGCUUGGGUAUUCAGAGGAACGGUAAAUAUCUUUUGCUGUUUUUCAAUUUGAGGGGGCCGCCCGAACUUGGUGGAAUGUGAUCAAGGUUAAGUGGGAGCGGGAACAAAACCCCUGGACGUGGGUCAAUUUUACUCGAAAAUUUAAUGAAAAAUAUUUGCCACCCAUUAUACAAGAGAGGCGGGAGGAUGACUUUAUCCGCCUGCGCCAAGGGGCAUCUAGUGCGACAGAAUACGAAACCCAGUUUACGAAACUUUCUCGUUUCGCUCCGGAUUUGGUGCCAACGGAGCAAAAGCGAAUCCACCGCUUCGUUCAAGACUUGAAUGUGGAAAUUUAGGAGGCACUAGCAGCUGCUCAGUUGGACACCUUUAACCAGGCACUAGAAAAGGUACAAAGGAUUAAGUUGGCUAGGGGACAAGUAAAAGUCUUCCAUGACCGGAAAAGGAGGCAAUCUAGUUCGAGUAAUUUCACGGUCAGACAGAGCUCGAGAAACGAGCCACCCUCUAAGAUAGGUCGAAGAACGGGUGGUCCACGACCCGUAGGAACCCUAAACCGAGGUAAUUUUGGAAGAGGUUAAGUAGGGCAAGAGCCCCAAAGAGGUGCCCAGCGUGGAGGCUCAACUACAGGAACAAAGCAGAUCUGUAGUUUCUGCGGGAGCAAUCACACAAACGAGAACUACUGGAAGAAUAUUUCGGUACGAAAAUGUUUUAAAUGUGGCAGUACAGAACAUCUGAUUGCCCAAUGCCCAAUAUCCGAAUUGAUCGGCUGAGGAAAAAUUUGUCCAUCUAUUUUUGCAAGAACAAAUGCUCCACCAGGCAACACCUUCUUGACAAUAAAAGGGCCCUAACUUGGGGCAAACUUACCUUUGGCCUCCUCUUGCACUGGCAAAAUUUGUUUCAACACUUUACCUCCUUCUGAAUAGUCACGACUUGACCCUUUUAUGGUAAGCAUGGGCCAAUUCUUUUGAUAAUAUUGACCAUGACAGACUACAUUUAGCUGCUUCUUAUCAAGCAACAACUGAUUUUUAUUUCCUUAAUCUUGAUCUCAAUUCGGCUUGAGUUUCUCUUUAUACCAUUCGGAUCUCUUUGAAACAUUUUCGAAUGUCUCUUCGUUACUCCACUCAUUUUGAAAUCCAAAUUCACAUUCGUGAGAUAUCGAGAUUGUUGCCAUCAAAUUUCAGAACAGUGAUAUCCAAAGGUCAGAGGAUUUUAUUCUUGGUCAUCUAGAAAGAAUGCGUAAAUAAUACAGUAUAUAUAAAAUUGUACAUUUUAUUGAAUUUAGAUACAAAGAUCAAACUUAAUAGCAUGUUACUUGUUAAACAAGACGUGUUUUGAAAAGCCACUUGAUUCAAAACUAUUUACAAAAAUAUAAUUAAACAAAAGACGCACGCAUGAAUGAUUUUCAUGAAUUUUAACCAAAGACAACUCUCCAAAUUUAUCGAAAUUCCCUUCGAGAGGGAAUAUGAUUUGCAAUCUAGUUUUGGAUGGCUCCUUCGAGCACAAAAGGCUUCUGGACUAUUCCGAUUACUUCAUUUUCUCCCACAAUGUAUUUGGCAAGCUCUUCAAAACUCAUCGUCAGUGGUAACGGCUCUUAAAGUAUUUUUAUGCUCAAAAAAAGGGUUCUUACUGACAUUCGGCCUUGACUCACCUUUUUUUCUUUAAAAUUAUGUCCCAAUAUUAAUCAUGUCUUGAAUCUUAUGCUUUAGUGCCCGAAAAUUGCCCGUAAAGUGGCUAGGACUUCCAGAGUGAUAUGCACAAAUGGCUUGAGGGUUAUAUAGUAGGAAUGCCCUAGGGUAGGUUUUAGGAGGCAUAACACCAAUUUUUUCAGCAAUUUUGAAUUUUUCGUACAAUUGAUCGAUGGGUCGGCUCAAGUUGGUGAAGGUUCGAUAUAAGGUUGGGUUUCAGAUUUCAUUGUUUAGAGGAUAAGUUUAAAUUUGAUUGUGUGGUUGAAUAGGUCUUGGAUUAUAAGAAGGGCGAGGUUGAGUUUGAAAGUUAGGUAGAGAAAUAUGAAAUGGUGUUGUGGGUGUGUUUGGGUAAUUUGGUCGGGGUCGAGAAUGGUUAAGAGUGGUACGAUAAACAGGUUGAGGGUGUGGAUGAUAUAGGUAAUGGGAUGUGUAGGUGGGAUAAUAAUAUGGUUCUUGAGAUUCAAAUGGCAUAUUCAGACUAACGGGUGGAUAAUUUUGGGGAGCUUGCAUGUAAGAAGGAUUGAUUUGGAUAUUGGGUGUAGAGGUAUGCGGUAGGCCAUGAGUGAGAUAGGUUAAAGCUUCCUCUGGUGGGUUUACAAAAUAUGGAGCAAAAAGGGUUUGAUUAUGAGAUUGGAUAAUGGUUGAGGUUCAGGUUGACUAGCAGGGAAGGGCUCAUGUUGAAUUCUGUUAUUGCUACCAGUAACUAACUGAUCAAUCACGCGCCGUUGUGCGGUCAUCUCCAUGCUUAACUCAUUGAAUUUGUUCAACACUUCGCUCAGUUGAGCUCUCAGAUUUGCAAGGUCAGUUGUUGGCGUUGUUAUAGACUUUUCGAAUGAUUUAGGAUAUGUACUCAUGUUUACACUAUUUCUCGAAACUCGACUACAUGAUCGUGUAAUGAUGGGGGUUCUUUGUGUAGCUAUAUUUGCAAUUACCUGAAAAUUUAGAAAAAAUCCUAUUUAGAUUCCCUUCUUGGUUAACUGCUGACAAAAAGAAAGAAAAAGAAAAAGAUGGGAGGUAGUAAAAAAUUAAAGUAAUUCGGAUGUAUGUCCUAUUGGGGAGCCCUUUUUGUACAAAGGGUAGGCCUAACAUUAGAAUACAAUCCUCUAGGGUAGGCAUCAUACAAUACAUGAUAAAUGUGAUCAACUUAUUGAUAUCCGAGUAAAAAAUAAUUUGAAAAAUUUAGCCAAUUGGAGUGGCAAGACACAUUUGUCCUAACAAAAUGAGAACAAACUCCGAAUGGAUUGAUUACUUUGAUUGACACAUAAAGUGAUGUUAAAAAAUCAAUUUGUUGUGAAAGAACCUACUUUUGAAAGGAUUGCAAUAUCUCGACUACAUUUUCAGUGAACCUUAGAUCGCAACUCUAAAAGAGAAUAAACGGGUCAAAUGGAUCGGAUGAAAUUGAUGAUUUAUUAAAAAAUUGACUGAAUCACCCUAAAAAUAGGUAAACUGGUCAAAUGGAUUGAAUGAAAUUGAUGAUUUAUUCAAAAUCAACCGAAUUGUCCUAAAAAUAAGUAAACUGAUCAAAUAAAUUGAAUGAAAUAAAUUGAUCAAAUAGAUCAGAUGGAGUGAUGAUGAUAUAUUCAAAAAUUGACUGGAUUGUCCUAAAAAUGAAUGAAUGGAUUGAGUUAAUGAUUUAUUCAAAAAUGUCAAAAUUGUUCUAAAAGUGAAUGAAUUGAUCAAAUAGAUGGAACGAAUAAAUUGACAAAAUAGAUUGGAUGAAAUUGAUGAACAAAUAUAUCAAAUGGAUUGAAUUAGAUUGUCCUAAAAAUGAAUAAUCAAUUUAAAUGGAUUGAAUGGAAUUGAUAAUUUAUUCAAAAAUCGAUCAAAUUGUUUGCCCAUUGGUAGUUUCAAAAAUUCAUUGCGAUGUAUUAGUCUAUGAGUCUUCUAAAAUCAAGAUUUAUAUUUACCAUCUCAACAAUGAGGAAUUAUUUGUGAAUUUCUUUAUCUUAAUGUCCUUUAUGCCAGGGAAUUUUGCCAACCAUGUUAAAAUGGUUAAAAGAUGAUUGUUAGAUGCUCAUAUUCUCAUGUACAGAAAUUGCUCUAUCAUCUUCGAGACUAAUAUCAUUAUGGAAGGGACCAGAUUCUACCUUACCUUGUGCACUACCUGUGAGGACACGAAUUUUUAUUUUUGCGUACUUUUAUUUUAUUUUACUGGCUUAUUUAAUUAUUUAUUUAUCCGUUUAUUUCGAAUAAUUUAUUUCAUCCAUUUUAAAUCUAUUUGCAUGGAACAAUGUCUUAUUUAUAUUCUUAAAAUAUUUUAUUAGCAAAUUUAAAUUUUCUAUGGUUCGUUUAACAAGAAAUAUCGAAUGCACGUUUUUCGAGGUAAAUUUGAUCCUAGAGUACAUUAAUCUUGGAAAAUAGUAGACUAAGAAAAGUUAAUUGAGGGAUUAGAUAUAAGCGAGCUAAAUUAAUCUCAAUUAGGAGCACUAAUUGCUCACUAAUCGAUUGUUGAAUUUUGGGCACCAAGAACACCUUUAUAUCAUUCUUCUUGUCACUCAAUCAAAUCACCCAACUACCACCCAAAACCUUUCUUCUUCUCCUCUCCUUGGCCGACUUCCCCUCCCUCAUUUCCCCACAAAAAUUUCAGCUCCCUUUCUUCCAUUUUUGCUCCAAGAAGACUCUCCAAAUUUGCUUCUUUUCUUGGUUCUUCGUACAAGCUUGGAAGGUGACUUGAACAAGGAAAAAACCUUGGUGAUUUGAGAGCUUAUAUACUAGUGCUUGGUCUUCACUUUUGGAAGCAAGGUAAUCAUCCAAAAACCCUCAUCUUUUCCUCUCAACUAUUAGUAGUUAGUUAGUUAUAGUUAGUUAGUUGUUGGGUUGUUGAUGGGUUCACAAGAACAUUGACACUAGGUAGAGGAUUUGAGAUGACUUUAUAGGUAGUGGCCUUGAGGAUUUUAUAUGUUUACUUGCUUGUUUGAUGCUUAUUUUGAGAAGAUAUGGCUUAGUUUUAGUUGGAAAAGAAAACUAGAAGAUGAAGGGUGCUUGCUAUCCGAAUUUUGGCUUGUUGAAUCCCUCAUAUUAAUUUCGAAUUUUGAUGUUUUUUUGGUGCUAUAAUGGUUGUUAUAUGAUGGUGUUUAUGUUUGUUAAAUAUCUCCCAAAAAGCUUUACAAUUGGUUGAGUUAAAGUAUGUAAGUGCCCGGUGCAACCCAAUGAGUACAAACAAUAUCACAAUGAUGCACAAAGAUAUAUCAAAUUUAAGCACAAUAAAGAAAACUUAAUUAAAGAGAAAAGAUAAGAAAUGCAAACCAAAUAUGAAUCCAAUAGCUUCUUCAAUAGAUGGCGAUGCUAACCAAGAUGUACAAGUGAAGGCUCACUCCUUCCUCACCCCAAACACACUUUGGUUGAGCCAAGGAGUUUUACAACUAUUCUAGUUAACCCUCAACAACCUACACUUGAAAGAUCACUCACCCAAUUAAGAACUAUUUUAUACAAAUGAGGCAACUUUCACCAAGGUUUUACCACUCCAAGUGAUAGGUUCGCCUUCACCAAGGUUUUACUCCUCCUAGAGAGUAACCUUCACUUGAGCAACCUCACAACCCAACUUUCCCAACCCCUUAUACAACCAACAAAGAAUCUUUCUACUCAAAAAUCUCACUUGUAAGCUUGUAUUUUGUGUUGGCAAAAGUCUUUAGUCUUCUUGUGCUUUGGGGUUUUUAUAGAAGGUGAGAAAUGGCUCCAAAAGACUCUCCAACGGUCAAAUAUUAAAUGCUGUCAAAACUAGCCGUUGGCCUGUCGGACGUCCGAACCCUGCGUCCGAACGUAGUCAGAGAGUCAUCAAAUCUUUGCGAAAUUUCUCGGACGUCCGAUGCGAUCAAUGAGCGUCCGACAGAGUUUUCUUCUUGAUGUUCUUCAUCCUUUCGGACGUCCGAUAGCGUCCGACAUGAGUGCCCUGUUUUAGCUUCUUCUUUUAUGCCACAAGAAUCUGUUCUAACAAAUUACUCACAUAAAAACAUUAGCUCAAAUCUACAUUUUUGUUUUGUUAAUCAUCAAAACCCAAGGAUUGAUCGACCAAGGUCAACAAUCUCCCCCUUUUUGAUGAUGACAAACAAAAUGAAAUUUCUUUUAUCAAAUAAGUUCAAAUAAAGCUCCCCCUUAGAAAGUGCCAACAUACAAAGAAAUUUCAAUAAAUCCUACUCCCCCUUUUGGCAUCAAUCAAAAACAAACUCCCCAUUAUUUUUCAAAUCAAGACCAUAUUGAAUAUCAAAAUUUUCAAUUGUACUUACAACAUAUAGCACUUCUUGGAUCAAAUCUUCAUGAUGUACCUAAAUAUGAGAAAUUUCAUUUGGUACCCUUUCUUUAUAGGGUUCUUGGGAGUUAAUACGAUAUGAUCUAGCAAUCCACAUGGAUUUCACGCCUUUUCUCAUAUUUUUCUUUACAUAGCAAUCAUUUUGCAUAUGUCCAAAUUUGCAACAAAAGUGACACAUGAUAGAAGUAUUUUGCACAUAGGUGGAUUUAAUGCAACUAAUUUUCUUACUCUUAUCAUAGCAAACUUAUUUGUGCCUUGAAAAGAUUUGCUUUUCUUUUGUUUGAGAAAACUUUUGUUUUUCAUUUUGGAGAAACUCGUUCAAGUCAUUAAUUCUUUUCUUUAACAAAUUUUGUUCCUCCAACAUUUUUUCAUAAAACUUUGUUUUCUCUUCCAACUUCCUUUUCAAAUUAUUUUUGCAAUCAAAAACACCUUUUUUAUUUUUUAAUCAUCAUUUUCCAUUCUCAAACAUUUGUUUUCUUGAAAAAGUUUGGAGUUUUCUUCCAACAAAUCAUUUAUUUUUGUUUUCAAAUCUUUAUUUUUAGCAUAAGAUUUUCUCAAACUUUUAUGCAUUUUAAUCAUAAGAAUUUUCACAUCAUCAUCUUCAUUAUCUUCAUCACAAGAAGAGUGAUAAGAACUUACCUCAUCUUCUCCAACGACCAUUAGUGCCAUUUGGGCCAACUCUUCUUUUUCUCUUUUUGAAUUGCAUUCAUCCCAUGUAAUUUUGCAAUCUCCUCUUGAACAUCUCUUGUUGAAGAUCUUUUGAAACUUUUGAUGUGAGGAGUUAUAUCAUUGUCCACUUCCAUGAUUUCAUUACCCAUGAAGGAUGGGUUAUCCCCCACUUGAGAUGCUUUAAAAGCUAUGCCUCUCUUAUACAUUCUUGCAUUUUCUUCCUCUUGCACUUUGAAUUUCAGCUUUAAUUCAUAAGAGGUUAGGGUAUCCACAAGAGAUUCAAUGGACAUAGAAUUUAAAUCCUUUGCCUCUUCUAUAGCAUUUAUUUUGUUUUCCCAUUCUUUUGGCAAGGCAUUCAAAAUCUUUCUAUUUUUCUCACCCAAAGAAUAUUCUUUUCCAAGCAAUUUAAGAUCUUCAAUAAUGUCACAAAAUCUACUACACAUCUUAUCAACAUUUUCAAGAGGAUGCAUUUUGAAAAAUUCAUAUUGAGAAACAAGCAAAGAUUUCUUUUGUUCUUUAAUAUCUUGGUUACCUUCAUGAAAUACACACAAUUUAUCCCAAAUAUCUUUAGCUGAUUUACAACCUUUAAUCCUACUAGAUUCAUUUACAUCUAAUGCAUUGUACAAUAUACACAUGGCCUUGGCAUUCAAAGAAAGGUAUCUCUUGUCUUUUUCAUUCAAUUCUUGUCUAGUCUUUAAUCUACUCAAAUUGGUGGUAGAGUCAACUAUUCUAGCUUCAUAAGGACCAUCUUCUACCACAUACCAUAAUUCAAUAUAAACGGAUUGUAAGAAAAUCAUCAUUCUUUGUUUCCACAUGCUAAAAUGAGAACCAUUAAACAUAGGUGGUCUAUCAAUAGAUUGCCCUUCUAAAAAAGAAACUUUUAUGGUUGCCAUGAUCUUUACUCUAAGCGGUUAAGCUUGAUCAAAAGAGACCAAGCUCUGAUACCAAUUGUAAGUGCCCGGUGCAACCCAAUGAGUACAAACAAUAUCACAAUGAUGCACAAAGAUAUAUCAAAUUUAAGCACAAUAAAGAAAACUUAAUUAAAGAGAAAAGAUAAGAAAUGCAAACCAAAUAUAAUCCAAUAGCUCUUCAAUAGAUGGCGAUGCUAACCAAGAUGUACAAGUGAAGGCUCACUCCUUCCUCACCCCAAACACACUUUGGUUGAGCCAAGGAGUUUUACAACUAUUCUAGUUAACCCUCAACAACCUACACUUGAAAGAUCACUCACCCAAUUAAGAACUAUUUUAUACAAAUGAGGCAACCUUCACCAAGGUUUUACCACUCCAAGUGAUAGGUUCACCUUCACCAAGGUUUUACUCCUCCUAGAGAGUAACCUUCACUUGAGCAACCUCACAACCCAACUUUCCCAACCCCUUAUACAACCAACAAAGAAUCUUUCUACUCAAAAAUCUCACUUGUAAGCUUGUAUUUUGUGUUGGCAAAAGUCUUUAGUUUCUUGUGCUUUGGGGUUUUUAUAGAAGGUGAGAAAUGGCUCCAAAAGACUCUCCAACGGUCAAAUAUUAAAUGCUGUCAAAACUAGCCGUUGGCCUGUCGGACGUCCGAACCACCUGUCGGACGUCCGAACCCUGCGUCCGAACGUAGUCAGAGAGUCAUCAAAUCUUUGCGAAAUUUCUCGGACGUCCGAUGCGAUCAAUGAGCGUCCGACAGAGUUUUCUUCUUGAUGUUCUUCAUCCUUUCGGACGUCCGAUAGCGUCCGACAUGAGUGCCCUGUUUUAGCUUCUUCUUUUAUGCCACAAGAAUCUGUUCUAACAAAUUACUCACAUAAAAACAUUAGCCCAAAUCUACAUUUUGGUUUGUUAAUCAUCAAAACCAAGGAUUGAUCGACCAAGGUCAACAAAGUAGGGUUAAAGUGAGGUAGAAAUCUAGAAACUUUUCUGACCAGGAGACCCGACCAGUGUUCACAUUUUGGGUCACAAAGUUUUGUCUGGGAGUUGAAAUUGAGUGCUGUUUGUGGCAUCCAAAACUAGACUCCAAGAGCUUUUUGUCAGUAUGAAAUGCAACCCCAAAUUUGUUUCCUAUGAGCCGUAGCGAACCGGCAAAGAUGACUGAAUUUUCUCACUAUUUUCAUCCGAGAAAUAGUCCUAGCUGCAGUUUGUAGCUCAAUUUCGCCUAUCUUUCAAAACGAAUUUUAAGACAGUUUCUUCUAGUGAAUUGUACAAUUUUGAAUAUAGUUUUCAACACCUCAAACCACACUAAAUUUUCAGUUGUGUAGCUCUAGUUAAGAUCAGAUUUUGAAACUCUGCCAAGUAAGUCAAAACUGGAAAUUUCGUAAACAAGUUUCAAAAAUCAGUUUUCUUAAAACCAUUAUAUCUUGAUGUAGAAAGAUCCGAAUUGAGUUCUGUUUGUUGCAUUUGAAACUAAAUUUGGAAUUCUAUUAGUGUAUAAAUUUCAAGGGUUGAUUCCAUUUCUACGAAUUUUAUCAAACUUCCAAACUUGGCUGAAAUUGCAAGCCUGUUUUGCUCUAUCCUGUCUGGAACAGUGAAUUUGAACUAAAAUUUGAAUGAUUUCAAAUUGAAUUCUGAGAAGAGUGUCUUUUAGAGAGUUUUAGUUCAUUGAGUCUAGUUUCCAACGGUAUAAACUUUUCAAUUUUUGGACUUAUAGAACUCGAGAUACAAUUUUUUCAAGUAGUGUCACACCAAGCUGGAAAUUUUCUAGUUUCAACUAAAGUACUCUUUUAAAACACUUUCAACCUCCCUUUGAGAGUGUAGUCCGUUUUAAGUUUAACUUCAUGGUUGGACACAAGGUCACUUGAAUUUUAAACCUUCAUUUUGAAUCUUGAUUUCCAAAGGAUUAAACCUCUCUUGAUGUAUUUUCUUGGUUGUUAACUUCUUUGGUUAAUGGCACCCCUAUUCUUAUGCCUUCGAUUCCCAUGAAUUUGAAUUUCAAAAAGAGAGCGUUUUAACUAGAGUAAUUCUUGGAGAAUUUCACUAGUUUUAUACUGAAAAUUUGAAACCUUUAGCUUUGACAUUUGAUAUGAAUAUGAGUGGAAUUUGGAUGAGUUUUGACUCCAUUAGUUUGGAAAAUGUGAACAUUCUUUAUAUUCUAACUUUUGGACAUGGGAUUAAAAGUUUUGAAAGAUGGGAACCAUCUACCCUUCUUUCUUGAUUUUCAUGCCGAAAGUAUAUAUGAUACUUUCUUUUGGAAUUGAAAUUACUUACCACGACUUGAAUAAAAAACGAGUUUUGAGUUCUCUUUGAUCAAAUUGAUCAAGGCGUUGGAUUAGCUCCUAAGAGCUCCUGUAUCCUUCUUGUGUGUUAAUUCCUACUUGUGCACUUAAAUGAAAUGUCAUGUUUAAAGUUGUUUUUAAGCAUGCUAUUCGAUUAAUUGGUUCUACGUGCUUACUUGCUUGCUUGUUUUCUUGGCCUCACUGAGUCUUAGCUCAUCCCUUUAAAUUUGUUCUUCCUAACAGGCUUUGGAGGUGGAAAUUGGAGUUCCUAGACUACCGACUUAGUGGAUGCUAGUAUACCUUUUGUAUGAACUUUUGGUGGCUCUUAAACUGUAAUUUUGUUAUUGUUGUUUGGUGGAUUGUAAUCAUAACUUUUAACUUAGAAGUUGUACUUGUAUAUUUGAAGUACUUCUUAGUUAAGUCGAUGGUUAAUUUAUAAUCUUUUUAAAACUUGAAUGAGUGUGUGAGUCCUGACGAGGGUUGGACAGGCAUUCCGCUGAUACCUUAGGGUUCGUCUUAGGAAGAGGUAGGGGUGUCACACUACCCCUUUGGAUGGUACAAGAAAUAUAAAUGUGCAAGUCUUAUUGGAUUACAUAUCUGAGACAUAAUGUGGAUUAUUCCUAUCAUGGGAUCCCCUAUGCGUCAUUUCCUUCUAAAGUUUAUGCAUGAUGUCAAUUUAUCAAAAUAAUUUAAAAAUGAAAACAUGACCUAAAGGGACCCUUUGUGUGCCAGGGUAGGCCUAAAAUGAUGUGCAACUAUUAACAUACAAACGCAAUACAUUGAAAUUUAAACGUGCAAUAACCUAUCUAAGAGGGUAGGUUCUAAAAGAGUAUCAUGCCAGAACUCUUAUUUUCUAGUGUUGGUGAAUGCAAAAGGCGAGAAAACAAGGAAAUGUUAGUUCAACAAAUAACACAUAACACGUUAAGCAAUUAGAUGAUAUAAAAGACGAGAAGAAAGAAAAAUAAGGAAAAAGAGGUGGAAUCCCUCCCUUCAUGUCUAGUGUUCCUAGUUGGUACGAUCGACUCUAUCUUAGGUGAUUUUUAAUAUGGAUGCAUGAGGUUGGACUCUGUGAGGACCCAAAAAAUUUCUUAUUUUUAUCGAGUGUUAUUGGUUUAUUUAAAUACUUAUUCACCUGUUUUCUCCAAAUAAUUUAUUUCAACCAUUCUAAGCCCAUUCAUAUGGAAUAAUGUCUUCCUUAGGUUUUUAAAACGUCCCAUCAGCAAAUUUAAUUUUCGAAGGUUCGUUUAAGUGAAGAAUAAUGAGUACAUGUGUUUCAAGAUGAUAUUCUAUUUGAGAGUGCAUUUAUCUUGGGGAGUUAAGAAUGAUCAAUAGUAGAUUAAGAAAGGUUAAUUGAGGAAUUAAAGGUGAAUGAGUUCUAAGUAAGUGUAUACCGCUUGCGCGUCAACAAUUUUCCGAAAGACGCGCUGAUACAAAUUUAUUGGAGAUUUGAGGAAGUAAUACAAGACUCAUGUGAAGACUCACAAAAUUCAUCUAUUUUAAACUCCUAAUUCAAGCUCAUUUAAUUAUUUAUUUGGCCAAUUGUCCUGAAUAUUAUUUUCUAACCUCUUUAGACCUAAUUACAUGGGUCUAUAGUUUCGUUAUAUUUUUAAAGUGACUUGUUUCAAAAUUUAAUUUUUGGAAGCUCGUUAAGUGAAAAUAGUGAAUACGCGAUUGGAGUCAAUAAUCGAUUCGAGAAUACAAUAAACUUGGAAAAUUAGAGGCUUGCACAAUAGUUUUAAAAUAGGUGUUUUUAUGCUUAAGUAUUCAAGUGAUAGUUAUUAGUACUAUCGUUAUAAGAAUUUCUUGAAGGUUUCGCUUUAUCGCGCUUAAAUUGGAAAUACACAUUUUAACACGCGCGAUUUAAUUGAGGGACUUUAAACCCUUAUUUUGGGACAAUUAAGCAUGGAUAAUAUUUACAUGAAUAUAAGUGCAUUAGUGAAAUAAACUCGAGAGAAAUCGAGCACAAAACGCGUGCGCGCGCGAAGGAGGGUUGACUUUUGGACAAGUUGUAGCCACAUAUUGAAGCUUCCUCAAGAAGCCUCAUUUGGACCCAAACACUCUCUCUCUUCUCUCCAAGAUAGCCGGCCACCAUCCCAAAGAAGAACAACUCAAGUUCUUCAAUUUUCUUCACCUAAACUUGCUCCAAAUCUUCACCAUUUCACCUCAAAUUUCGACCGCACUUAGCUUAACACUUGGAGAUUACAUCUAGCUAAGAAAAGGAGCUGCAAUCCGUGGGUUUUCUUGAGCACAUUUGGACCGAAAUUUCUGUUUGGUUCAUCUAAACAAGUAAGCAACGAUCAAACCUUGGAAACUCAAUUUAUGGAAGUAGUAGAGCGCAUUUAAACUCAUGCAUGCAUAUGGGUAGCUUGGUUAUGUUGAAAAUUUGUUGUGUGGGCUCUAUGAACUCCCACUUUGGUUGGAUGGACUGACUUGGUGAUUGAUGAUGAAAUUAAUGUUGGUUUAGUGCUUAUAUUAGUGAAAUAAUGUUGGGUUAUUGAUACAAACUCAAGGAUGGUGCAAUGAGCAAAAGUGACCAUUUUACCUCUGCCCUGUUCGUGCACUUUGGUGCGAAAUUUUGAGGUUCUAAUGACUUUUUUAUGAUGUAUACAUGUCAUAUGGAUAGUGUAGAAAGUUUCAUUAAAAAAUAACAUGAUUUGGUUGGUCAAAUGUGUUGAUUUCCAAAGUACGGCAGAACUGGAAAAUUUUCCCGGAUUGCCCAGGCAGUCCUGUUGUUUCGGCUAUAACUUUUUAUUCCGAUGUUGAAAUCGAGUUCUGUUUAUGGCACUAGAAACUAGACAUUCUCAGCUUUCUAUUGGUAUAAAAUGCACAUCCUAAUUCCACUUGUGUGAGCCAAACCAUUCGUCUGAAGUUUGCUGUCCUGUUUCAUUGGUUCACUAUGGGGCAGAACAUGAACUACAAUUUGAUGCCCAAAUGUGGGCUAGUUGUGGACAGAUUUUGAAAAUGGUUUCUUCUGAGAAAUUGUAGAUUAAUGAAUUUUUUUCCAACGCCACCAACCACAUCCAAUUUCGAGUUGAAUUGAGUGAUUUGUGGCCAUAUUUCAAAACUGACUUCUUGAAGGAAAACUCUCCUUUUGGGCAGAAUUGUUACUAUUGAGACUUGUUAAUUCGAGAUUCAUGGUGUUAAUCACCCAAAAUUGUGUUUUGGAUACCUCUUAGACAUUUUCUAUGGAAAUGGACCAUGCUUGAGGUACUUUGUAAGCCAAACAUUUUGAAAACAGAAAACGAAACUCGCAAGGCAGAUUUGCCUUGAAAAUUUUGGAAUUUUGGUGAUUUCGUUAACCAAUUUUCCGUACUUAUUUAUCUAUGAAAUUUGGCAAAGAAAUAUUCCUUAUAUGGUAGUAUUAUACUGCUAAUUUUGGUGCUAUUCUGAGGCCGUUUCAUUGCUCAACUAAACUUCCAAAGUUCAUGACUUGAUGUUGGAAAACCCUUGUUUAACAAGGAAAUUUGGGUAACUUUGAGCUACCAUAUCUUGGUGCUCAAAAACUUUAAUUCUCAUUCUGCUUGCUCCAUUUUAAACUUUGAUUGCAACUCUAGUUGAGUUUCAAAUUUGAGAGGCUAGUUCCAAUUCUGUGCAUUUUGCCAAAUUUUCCAAGUUGGCGAAAAACCAACCCUGAAACUGCCUCGAUAGUCUAGAACAGAAACUUUGAGCCGAAUUUUGAAUAUCUUACGUUUGGAAUCAUAGAGAAUUGUCUUCUAAGAACUUUUAAUACUUUGAAAGAUGUUUUCAACGGUACCAAGUUUUCCAAUUUUGGACUUGUAGAGAAUGAGAUAUGAUUUUUGCAAAGUGAAUGUACCAAAUAUGAAAAUUCAUAACUUAAAGGAAAUAGAGUUUUUCCAAACCCUCUCUUUUCCUUUGAUAUCACUUGAUCGUUUUACACUCGAUUUCAAAGAUGUAAAUCAGAUUUCGCUUGUGUUUUAAAACCCCACUUUUGAGCCUUGAUUUAUGAAUAAUUAAGGUUCAUUUUCGUGAAAUUUUCUGAGAUCGCACACGUGUGCAAUCUUUCUUAAUAAUUGGGGUUUAUAAGUGAUUGUUUAUUAUUAAUUACCCAAGCUCGCGCGAGGACCCUCAAGAGGAUCCCACGGUGGAUGCUUGAAUUUCAAGUGCCCUUUUCUUCCUCAUUACUUAUAUUGGUGAGUGUCAAGUGUAUUAAUACUUGAUACAUGCUUAAUUGUUAUAAUUGUUUGGAGAUUUUGAAAAUGAAGGCGAGUGUGUACUUUACCGCACUCGUUCUUAUUUGAAAUGAAUGACUCAUGAUUCAAAUGAAACGAAUGAAUUAUGAAUGACUUAAUUGAAUGAAAUGAAAUGAUUGAAUGAAUGAAUGAAAUGUAAUGGUAUGCUAUGGCUGCAUACGUCGUUAGAGUGAAUCUCCUCGACUUAUAAAUGUUAACUGGGGGACGCCCAAACUCAUAGGCAAACCUUGGACUCGAGCCGACAUGGGCUUGGUCGGGAACCUUGGCGAGCCAUGAGAAUUACAUGAUAAGUUUGAUCUAUUGAAGAGAUUUUGCUUGGCAUACUCGUUGAAGUAUUGCCUUAUAAAUGACGUUCGGGCCCGGUGGGGGUAUGUACGGUGGACGGAUGGAAGUAAGUUGUGAUCUACGGAUUGGAAAUACCAACCCGGUUGACGGAAUGUCAUCGCGGGAAGGUAUACAAAUGACCUUGGCAAAGUAAGUGGAACUUAGCUCCUGAGAGCUACCAUAUCCUUGAAUUGUUUCUGUUUACAUCUUAUUGGAAUUAUCAAUUACUUGUACUUUAUCAAUUGACCUGUUAUUUGGGCUUGUUACUUGGACUAUGUGCUUGCAUGUGUGUUCUUGGCCUCACGAGCAUUUUGCUCACCCUGUAGAUUUGUUUUCCUUAACAGGACUGGACAUGGAAUGGACUUGGAGAAACCCCUUUUGAUGUACUUUUGGCUUAGGGUUUCUAAUGUAAUUUGGGCUAGACCUCUUACUGGUUGUACUUUUGGGAACCUAAUGUACGAUUUGGAUAUUUGAUGCAUCUGGAUGUUGUAUAUUUUGGGCAUUGAAGUAUCAUUUGGAUAUUCGAUGUAAGGCUCGGAUAAUUAUUAUAAAUCGUUAAGUUGAAGGCUUCCGCAUUCUUUAACUUGUCUUAUUUAGUGGUGAUGUCUAGUAUUGCAAUAAACUUGAAUGAAAAUUGGUUGAGUCCUGGCGAGAGUAGGGCAAGCGUUCCGCGGAUACCCUCUGGUUCGCCUUAGGGAGAAGUGGGGACGUCACAGACUCAUUAAUGUAUCUUGACUCGAUUACGGUUUCAGGCCCCCAAACCUUCAGACCAAAGGCGAAGGGUCAUCAAUCCCAAGGCCUAAGAGUCGGUGGUUCGAGUGAUCCCUCGGACAUUGCUACGCGCACGUCGUGCCAUGGACACAUGCCCAAGUAGAUCAAUUCUAAUCCUAAAUAGGGAAGGAUGGUAUGACAACCGCUAAAAGUAAAAAAGAAAUGAGGGGGGUUAUUAAGUAAAACAUAUGCACGUAUGAAGUGCUCCUUUUGAAGGGAGAAAAUUAGGCACCAUCAAAUGCGGGUGAAGGUUUUAGGGUGGUUGUCCCCCCUCCCCAAGAUGCAAGUGCGAUAAACAUAAGUGAAUGAAAGAAAAUAAAACACAUUAUUCACAUAAACGGAUAUCGAGACAUUUGUGCGUGUUUAGAUGCAAGAAAACCCUAAAAAGAUAAAAAUGCAAUCUAAAACCUCCAAAUCUGAUAUAUAACAAGGCUAAAAGAAGAAAAAAAUUGACUAAAUCAAAUGCUCGGACUCUCUAUAUCCCUAGUGGAGUUGCCAAGCUGUCGCACCCCAUUUUUUGAAUGAAAAAUAAAUUAUUACGAUUACGGGUUUUAUAAAAAUGAAUUUUUUGAUUAUUUUUUGAAUGAAAAUGGUUUUUGAUUUUUAGAAAAUAAAUAAAGAAAAUGGGACUUAAAGUGCAACGAUUAUGACCCAAAAAUAAUAGUUUAAAAAGGGUUUUUAAUGAAAAAUUUUGAUAUUGAAUUAAGGUGUACCAAGUCACCUAAAAUGAAUUUCAAAUAAAAAAAGUAGAGAAAACCCUUUUUAAACGAUUCCAAAUCCGCGAUAAUGAAGAGAAAAGGAAUCGAGAGUCACGGUUGAAGAAAGGGAAGACAAGGAUAAAAUCCAAUGCACCCUUUCAACCUAGUCAAAGCUAGUUGCAUGAUUUAGUCAAAAAUUUUCUUAAUUUAACCUAAAAACUUAUCACAUUUGGAUGUUACUAUAUGAAUGCAAACCUAGAUCUAAUAGUUAUUGGAAGGGUCAAUAUGUCUUUUCGAAUUUUAGUUGGUGCAAAUCACAUUAAAUUGCGACGCCCAAAAGUGACUCUUUAAAGAGGUCACGAAUAUGCAUAAUGAGACUUAAAAAAAUAGCAAAAUUAUAAUAUACAAAUAUACGUGACCUAAAAGAAAGGGAUGCAACAUAACGGAUACGGGGGCUAAGAUUCGUGACUCAAUUUUCCCUUUUAUAGAAGGAAUACGAGCGUGCUAAGGUUAGAAAGUCAUACUCGUCUAUAUCCCAUAUUUAAAGGGUUAAUUCGCUUAAUUUUGGUCAAGCAAAUGAUCAAACCUAUUUCUAAUUUUCUUAAAUGAGAUGCAAAUCUAAAUGUUAUGUUUUAUACAUAGGGAUAAGGGAUAUAUAAGGAAACAUCAUGUAAAGUGAUAAGGAUCUUAAAAAGUAAAAAAUAUGCAUGAAAUGUAGUGAUUUGUUACACAAACAUGAUCUAGCACGUAGACGGUCCCAAAGGGUCUAGCAUUGGAUUAGUCCAUAUCUACGAGUUCUCACUAACAUUGGACUAUUGAGAAAUCGAAAAAAGGGGCCACAACUAGCAUUGGACUAGUGUGGAAUCGGGAAAAAAUGGCCACAACUAUGACUGCAAACAAACCGAGCGAGUCAAGCUCGACUAGAGCUGACUCGAGUCGAAAUCGAGCUUGAACUCGAGCUCAAGAUAUUAAGCUUGUUAGCUCACGAGCCGGCUAGCGAGCUCAAGUAUAUAUAUAUAUAUUUUUUUUAUUUUAAGUAUAUAUAUAUUUUUUAUUUUAAGUAUAUAUAUAUUUUUAUUUUAAGUAUAUAUAUAUUUUUUUUUUUUAUUUUAAGUGUAUAUAUAUAUUUUUAUUUUUUUAAUAGUAAAAUUACAUUAUAUCCUUAAUAUUUUAUUAUUUAUUAAGAAAAAAAUAUUAUUUUAUUUAUUUUUAAAAAAUAAAAUAAUAAUUUUUAUUUUUUUUGAGCUCGAACUUUAAAUUGUCGGCUCGUCGAGCUCGAGCUCGAGUUCCUUAAAAUUAAGUACAGACUCGGCUCAAUUAAGCGAAAACUCGACUCGGCUCGGCUCAUUUGCAACCCUAGGCAUAACUAACGUUGGACUAGAGUGGUGACGUCAUGCAUUUAUUAUAAUCAACUAAAACAUAUAAAACAUAAUAAAGCAAAUGAACACAUAAAUCACAUAUAACACAUAACACAUAAGCAUGAUAUCUAGAUGCAAAAAUCCUAAGAAAGCGAGUAAACACGUAAACACUAGCAUGCAAACACAUAAACAAAUAAAAGCAAAUGAAAACCCAACUAUUACAUUCGGGGGGCCCUAACUACAAUCUAAAGGGGUAAAUAAUGAAAUAGAAUAAAAUAAUAGCCUAACUAUUACAAUUUGGCAUUUAAUCGCCUUUCAAAUAAUCAAAAUUAAACAAAUAAAUAUACAAAAUAAAACAAAUAAAGUGACUAAAAAUAAAUAAUAAAAAAUAUUAAAAAAACACGCAUUUACACACAUAAAAUCACAUAGGAGCACAUAGGGUCAAGUAAAAUUAAAAUAAAGGAGUAGGGUGUACCUCUCUUGAAUUGGUGACCUAAUGAAGUGAAAUUUCUCUUAUUUACCCUCCAACACGAAGAAACUAGUUAAGGCACCACUUUAAUUAAUAAAUAAUCAUAAAAGACAUAAAUAAGCAUGAAAUUGAAUAAUUAAAAUAUUUAAAUGAAAGUAAACAACCCAUAUUCAAGAAAUUGAAACAAGUAAGGUGUGACAGCCCCACCUCCCCCAAAGGCGGACCAAAGGGUUCGGCGGACCGCUUGCCUAACUCUCGCCGGGACUCAGUCACUCACUACAGUCCUCAAAUGAAUUACAAUAUAAAUAUCAAAUAUUACAUCAAAUUCUCCAAGAAUUACAUAUCAUAAGCGAAGUAGAAACUAGUUCCCAAGUGUGGAACUUACAAACAUAUCCGAUCCAGUCUAAACAUUCAAACAACCCUAGCUAUUACACAAGAGGAGUGCGAAUUCAAACUAUACAUGAAGUAUUCUAUCUAGUCACAUGAAUAUGUACUACAAACACCUCCUUCGCCUCGAGCCCUGUGGAGGGGGAAUAAAAUAUAUUUUUUGGGUGAGCUAGAAACUCAGCGAGUAACCAGUAAAAUCAGUAAUCAAAUAAGUUUCACAAUAGUUCAUUUCAAUGACGUCAUGAAUCAGUAAUCAAAUGUACGUUUAUUGCUCUUGUGAGCCAGUGAAAUCGUUGUACUUAAACAUCCAACGCUCAAAUAGAUCCAGUACAGUGAAACAGUAAUAGGGAGACAUUUGUGCUCCACAUAAACAGUAAACAGUGGUGGAGACGUUGGUUCUAAGCACAAGACUUCCCAAAAACUCAUUGAAACCAAAUCAUGUCAUGAACUCACAUGCAAGCACACAUGAUAUGCAAUCGAGUAAAUAAUGCAGGAAACAGUUUAUAAGUAGCUUUGGAAAUAGUUUGGGGUCACUCACCACCACGGCUCAUAAACCACUUCCAUCAUAGACAAUUUUGUGGAUUGAACUCAAGCCCUUCAACUAAAACUCAAAGCAAUCCAAACAUUCUCAAAGUUCAGGCAGCAUUUUCCCUUAAUUUCUUUAUUUUUCCAACCUACCAACAAUCACCCAUACCAUUUCAAUCAGCCACAAUUACACGUACAAAUCAUAGGCUAUUAAACACUCUUAAUAAGGGUCACAACACCCUUCACAUACAACCAUUAGAUAGCUCCAUAAUUAAUCACAACAAAGCCCCAAAUUAGAAACCCUAAAACUGAAACUUCCGCACAAACCAGAAACUUUCCACAAACAAUCAUAUCCAACGUAUACAAGCUCCAUUUUACACCACAACAAGCUAUCAUUCCAUGACCAAAUACCAUAAUCAUAUAAAAUCAGAAAAAUCCCCAAUAAAUCAGAAAUUUACCAUAAACUCCUUCAACCCAUGAAAUCUUCCACAAAACAAUAUAUUUAACCACUACGAACCACUAAUAUGCCAUUAUUAGAACAAAGAGGGAAUUUUUCCAAGCAAGGUACCUUAAAUCCUCAAAAAGAUGAUGACUUAGAGCUUCCCCUUCUAAGACUACUCCACCAACCUCUUUAAACCUCCUUAGUACACACUUGUAUGGAGUAGUUUCCAAAAUCAUCGGUGAAAUCUCAAGAUUUGAACAAAGAUUGAAACUAGAAAAAUGAAGAAAACUCUCUUGUUUUUCCUCUCUCAACAGCCGGCCAAGCCAAGAAAAGAAAUGAGGAAAAUAUCCUAGCCAAAACAAGAUAAGAAGGCAGAAAAUCAGCUGGUCAAAGUUGAUGGCCGACAUGUCACGUCACAAUCCGGCCGGAAUCUGGCCGAUUUGCGGUCGGAUUCUUGCCGGAUUCAAGGCAGUGGCAAAAAUCAUUUUUUUAAAACUCUAAGGCAAUCCGGCCAGGUAUCCAGCCAAAAACUGGUCGGAUUUCAGGCCGGAUUCGCCAAAAACAAAGCGAACCAGAAUUUUUUUUCUUUUUCUUCUUCCGGGCGUCACAUAAGGACCUAAUUGAAACAAUUAUAGAAGUUUGAGGGGUCAAAUUAUUAUUACAAAUAUUAAGGGUCUAAAUUAAAAUAAAAUAAAAUUAAGGGUUUAAGAUGAAACCUUCCAAAACUAAAUACUAGAAUUCACAAAAAUAAAUCAAGACCCUUUCAUCAAACCCCAAAACCAAAAUAUUACUCAAAUUUUGAAUUAUUUACCAAAAAUUCAAAUAAAACUAUAAAUCUAACAAAAUUAUCAAACCACGAUGAACCUAAUUUACUAAAAUAAAUAAAAUAAAGACUAACUAUCAUCUUGGGAAACUUAGUCAACUAAAAUGAAAUAACAUAAAAAUAAAAUAACUAAAAAAAAUAAAGCUAAAAUUGAAUUAAAUAAAAUUAAAAUUUUGGUGUCUAUAGUUUGAAGUAUUAAUUAGUAAAUUAGUUGUUUGUUAUUGCUUUUAAUCGAUAUUAUUCUAGAUAAUAGAGUAAGCCAAGGACCUAGUACUUGAUUAGACGCUCCUCAUGAGAUCGACCCUUAUAUGCCCUGUAUUACUAGUUUGACACUCUAUAUUACUAGUUUGACAUGUAUACUUGCAGAAAAUGGGUGUAUUUUGGAUUUAAAGUUGUGCACAUAUUUGAAACCCAUAAAGUUUUGGCGCCGUUGCCGAGAGAGCGGCAAUAUUGGGAUCUAGCAAGUUUUAUUAGUUUAGACAUUUUUUAGAGUUUAGUAGAGUUUGUUUAAUUUAUUUGUUUAAGUAGUGCUAAUUGUUUGGUGUGAACUUGCUAAACUUCAUUAUAUGCUCUUAUUUGUAGUGUAUACAUUGAGUUUUAUGAGUUAUUGCUCCUUUUAAUCCAGAAAUUGAGAGGACAAUAAGGAGACAAAGAAGGAGUGCAUCACAAGUAGAGGAGGAGACAUACCAAAUAGAGGGGAUCUCUAUCAAAUUGCCUUUUGAAGAAGAAAUGGCAGGACAAUAAGCAAAUGAGUGAGCCCUUAGAAAUUAUGCACUACCGCGAACUCAAGGCUCUUAAACAAGCAUUUCAAGGCCAAUAGUAAAUGCCAAAAAUAUUAAGAUUAAACUGUCUUUGAUACAAAUUGUUCAACAAUCUUAAUUUGGAGGGUAAUGUCAUAGAAGAUCCAAAUGCUCACUUGGCUGGUUUCUUGGAGAUGUGUGACACUAUCAAGAUGAAUGGAGUAAGUGAAGAUGCAAUUAGACAUGGAUUAUUUCCAUUUUCAUUGCAUGAUAAAGCUAAGGUAUGAUUGCAAUUUCAUUCUUCUACCACUUUUACUACUUGGGAUGCCUUGUCUCGAGACUUUUUGAAUAAAUAUUUUCCAACUUAGGAUGGAUAUUACUAAUUUUAAUCAACACGAUGGUGAGUCAUUUUAUGAAGCAUAGGAAAGAUUUACGGAUUUUUUAAGAAAAUGUCCACAUCAUGGACUUCUUGAUUGGCUUAUAACCCAAACAUUUUAUAAUAGCUUAUCUUUUCAAACUAAAACUAUAAUUGAUGCAGCCACAGGUGAAACAUUAAUGGGUAAAUCACCGAAGGAAGCCCAAAAUUUGAUUGAAGAAAUGGCAGCCAAUAACUAUCAAUGAGCAAAUAAGAAAGGUAAUCUAAGAAGGCAAGCAGGUAUGUUGGAAAUGGACACUCUUAACAUGUUGAGUGCCCAAAUAAACAAUGUGAUUAAGUUGCUUAGUAAACAAGCCGAAGUUGGUGCUAUUUUGUCAUCCAAUGUAAGUUUUGCUUGUUGUGCCACAUAUGGAGGGGAUCAUAAAACUAAUGAAUGUAUUGAUCUUGAAUAGGUGCAAUUUGUCAAUAAUUACAAUCAAUCAUCACAAAACAAUCUGUACUCAAAGACAUUCGAUUUGGGUUGGAGAAAUCAUCUAAAUUUUGGAUGGAAAUAUCCAAAUAAUCAACAAAGGCUUACAAACCCACUUGACUUCCAACCAAGGCAACCAAUUAGGGAGACUAAACUGGCUUAGGAAUUGGCAUUCAAGCGGCUAGCUAAUGGGUCUAGUGAUAAGAUUGAAAUAACUGAGGUGAAGAUGGACCCACUUACAACUAUGUAUAGAAAUAUAGAGGUUCAAGUUGGCCAAAUUGCUAAUGCCAUCAAUGUUAGGCAACCGGGGGAGCUUCCUAGUAGGACCAAGGUUAAUCUUGGAGAACAUGUAAAUGCAAUCAUGCUUAGAAGUGGUAGACAUUUAGAGGAACCUAAUCUUGCUAAGAGGAGUGAGACCAAGGAUAAGGAAAUAGCAAAAGAAGAGGUAGAAGGGAAGGGUAAAGAUCAUAUAGCUAUUGACGUUGAGUAUCCUACUUCAAUUGUUACUAAUGAUUCUAUUCCUUUUCCUGGCAAGUUGACAAAAGACAAUAAAGAUAGGGAGUUUGAAAAAAAUCUUCAAAAUUUCAAAUAAUUGCACAUUAACAUUCUUUUGAUUAAUGUCAUUAAGCAGAUUCCUUCCUAUGCACAGCUCUUGAAGGAUAAUAUGUCCAAGACGAGGAAGAUUGUGGAUAAUGACACAAUUGCAUUGAUAAAGAAAUAUAACACGUUGAUUCAAAAUAAACUACCUCCUAAAAUAAAUGAUAGUAGAAGUUUUUCAAUAUCUUGCACUAUUAGUGAUUUAAAUUUUACUAAUGCAUUAUGUUAUUUAGGUGCAAGUGUCUUACUUAUUCCUUUCUCAAUUGCUCAAAAGUUAGGGUUGAAGGAAGUAAAGGCUGUGAAUAUCAUUUUGCAAUUGGCAGAAAGGUCUACUAAAUAUCCUAUAGGUAUUUUGGAGAAUGUGCUUAUAAAAGUGAAACAAGUUAUUAUACUUCUGGAUUUUGUAGUCUUACAUAUGGAAGAAGAUGCGAAAAUGCCUAUUAUUUUAGGAAAGCCUUUCUUAGCCAUAACAGGUAGUAUAAUUGAUGUUCAAGAAGGUAAAAUGAUGUUUUGAGUCAAUGGUGAGAUUAUAGAAUUCAAGUUCUAUCAAGCCAAGGAAAGUGAACCAAUUGAUCAUGACUUACAUGGUUCAUGUAAUGAAAAAAGUGCUUUAAAGGUAUGUGAAGAGGUUAACUCUUCAAGUUUGAUUCAAUAUGAUUUUCAUAUUUAAGGUAUCGAGCAUUUGGAUGAAGCAAUUGUAGAGCAAUCCAAGCCUAUACCAACUCAAGUCCAAGAGAAUAUAGGUAAAAAGUGGUAUCAUCUUGAGGAGGGUAAGUAUUUUCUACUUAUAAGUGAUUAUGAGCAAAAUUACGAUUUGCCUAACUUACCUCUUAAGCUUUUGAGGGUGUUAAAUGAUGGAGAUUCAUACCAUGUUCAUCACCAAGUGGAGUGGUUUCGAAGCUUUGAUCCAUGGGGAAGGCAUUGCACCCCAAUUUACUAUUAAAGGAAGAAUCAUUUUGAGUCGAACUUAACGACUUUAAACAAAGCGAUUGUUGGGAGGUAACCUAAUGAUUUCUUGUUUUUGAUAUAUUUUUAGUUGUUUCACCAAUGUUUUGUGUGUUUUUUAGGUGACCAUAAUAAGGUUCAUGUAACUCAUCUCAAGUUCAAAAGUGCAUACAUUGAGGCAAAAAGGGAGCUUUCAUAUCUAAUUCAUGCAUUCCAUGCAUUUAAUGUAGUUCAUAUUUGUGUCAUGAUCUUGUGUUUCUAAAUGUAUUGGAUUGAAAAAGUGCAUUUUCUUGGUUAAAUUCAAAUUUUGCUUGAAGAACAUGAAAUUAGUUGAAAAUCAGGUGAGAGUGGGAACUUGGCCAAAUAGGGAGGAAAAACUGCAGAAACUUUGUGCGAAAACUUAGCCAAAUAGAAAAUUGGAGGAAAAACUGUAGAAAUCAAAGUUUCUAUAGUAAAUCCAACCAAGUUCCAGCCGAAAAUCAUUGGCAAGGGAAGCAAAAUUCUUUGGUGAGGUUAUUGAUGAUUACUGGUGAUAAUUAAUACAUGGGUAUGUGAUUAUUUAGUGAAUUUGGUAAUUUUUAGCUAAUUUUUGGUCUUAAAGUGACUUGAUAUAAUUGUGAUGAUUAUUCGCUAAUGUGUUGAAUUAAAUUGCUUGGAAAUAAUUUUGUGAAGAUGGGUUAUUUGUACUAUGAUAUUUACAUGUUAAAAUUGUGCAUAGUUUGCUUAUUUCUUGAUUUUUGCAUGAGUGUUCUAGGAUUUGUGGAAUAGUUAAUUUAUAACCUUUUUAAGCCAAAAUUUCAUGUUCGAAGAUGCUAUUUAGCAUUUAUUUAUGCUUAAUUAGGUCAUUAAUAAGUGAGUGGGUAGUGCGUUUGCCUCAAUUGGAGUUUGCAUAAUUGCUUCCUCUAUUGUAAUUAUUGCACCUGAAUUAUUGGGGAAUUAUUUCUUAUUGUAUUUGUGUGUUUCACUUGGGAAUUUAAUAGAUCAUUUGUUGAGGUUAAUAGUUUUGCUUACUUAUGAUGUUGAUUGAUACUUGUUAUGUAAGUUAGUUAACUAUUUUGCCUCUUUUAAGAUAAGGGUAAAUAUGAGCAUGUGCUUAUUAUACUUAAUUUAAUUAAGUACCUAUUCAAUGAAAUUAAUGUUUGUAAUUUUAUUUAGGUACAAGGCUCGCACUAAGAAUGUCGGGGUGAAAUCUCUAUCUCCUAAUAGAAAAGGUGAAGCUUCUAUGUCUACUUCUAGGCCACCACGUACCAAAAGAAAAAUGAGUAGUCGUCUUGUUCUUGAAGAGGAAUCAUCAUUCGAAGUGGAGAUUCAUCAACAAGAAAAACAAGAAGUUGAACAAGUGGAGUAAGUUACAUACGACAGAACACCAUUCACCUCGGCCAAAAAUGAAGUAUGGUAUAAUGCCCGAUUGGCAACUAAGGUAUUACUGGAGAAGAAUGUGACUCCUGAUGUUGAGAAAGUGUACCAUCUUAAGAAAUAUUUUGCUAAGCUGAAAUGGGAGAAUUUCUUUAAUCUUCCAAACAAUUGUUAUGAAGACCUUGUCCGUGAAUUUUAUGCAAACGUGGAAGGCAAGCAGUCUUUCUACUUUAACAGGGGAAAAUGUGAGAACCCUAAUAAAAAAAAUUUCACAUUUUCUAUGCAUUAUUUUAUUUCUUUGUCUACAUUUUAUACUUUCCUUGGAAAUAUUAAAAUUUCUAUGCAUUUUUACAAGCAAGUACAGUUUUAAAAUCAUUUUUCCUAGUAUGAGUUAGUGUACAUUAAUUUGAAGUGUGUUAUAGAUGUGGGACCCGCUAGUGCGAUAUAAGUUUGGUGACUAAGUGAUUUUUGUGCUGAAUGUUAUUAUUAUACAAGGUGCUAGAGGAUAAUUAGAGGUUUGUUAUAUGAUGUAACCAUUGGAAGCCAAAGGAUUAGAGAAAACACUAGAAGGGCCAAGUGUUGCAAACCCAUUGGAGGUUGGACUUUGACCUCAUUUUCACCUUUACUAAAAACCAAAUUUUGACCCAAAAUAUCUUCAUUUUUCUUGCUUCUUGGCCGAAUCUCUUGAGGGGAGAAACAAGAGAGAGCUCUUCAAUUUCUUGCUUCCAAACUUGCUCAAAUCUUGAGUUUUAACCAACCAAAUUUGAAACUACACCAUACAAGUGCUCAACUAAGAAGCUUGAUGGUUUUGGUGGAGUUGUUUUGGAGGAGGAAAGACUAAACCACUAUUUUCUUGUGGUUUUAAGGUAUCUUGCCAAGAAAUCUCUCUUUACUUUUAAUACUAGAUCUGUUGUUAGCUUUUUUUUGGUUCAAAGGUGCUUGUAAUGCUUAUAUCAACUGAUUUUGGAUGGUUGGGGGUGAUGAGUUAGGGUUUGAAUGAUUCACUUAUCAUACUUAUUGUGUGGGUGGUAUAUGAUGUAUAUAAGGUGGUAUAAGAGGUGGUAGUGAUGGUUUCAAGCUAAAAAUGAGAGGUGGUAUAAGAGGUGGUAGUGAUGGUUUCAAGCUAGAAAUGAGAUUUAUACCUUGAUUGUAGCAAAUUUUCAGAAUUGAAGUUAAGGUAUACCCUGUUCUUCCUGGUUCUAUUUCACCAUAUUAGAGGCUGAAUUAGGCUUAGCCUAAAACAUGAAAGUUGUAUAGAAUGAUGUUUUGUAGGUUUUUACAAAAUUUCAGCUCAAUCAGAGCAACGUAGACUGUGAAAAGACUGAAAUACCCUGACUGCCCUAGGUGAAUCCAGUGCUCAGUUUUGAAUAUUUCACCAAUCUGGUCGUGUCUUUUCACCAUGAUAUGUACUGAAAUAGUAUUUACCCAAAACAUAAAAGUUGUAUUAUUAUGUCUUAGCUUUCCAAUGCCACUAGAAACACCUCAAUCGGACUUUGGUAGCCUGAGUUAUUGUCGUUUAAGCAUAGUGUGGUUAACUGACCUGUUUGUGAGAUUCUGGUUCCGUAAUUCGAAAUUUUGACCUAGAUACACUAUGAACUGGACUAAGUGGUCUUCAUCAAAGUUGUAGAUCUCUGUCUUAGCUUCGAAAUGGUAUAAAUUACACCUCAAUCUGAUAAGUAUAGCCUCAUUUGUGUCCGUUACACAAAAUAACAUCAAAACUGUCUUUUGUUUCUUGACGCAAACUUCAUUUCUGCACAUGUUCCUAGCUUGAUUUUGUACUUAUAUGACUCUGAGCCUAUGGAAUGGCUAUUGAAAUGAGAUGAUUUUGUGUGUGACUUUGGGAUUGAUUGAGGAAAACAAUGAAACCAUAAAUGGCUGGAAAAUAGGUAAAUACAAAGGGCGUGCUGCCCAAAUUUUUCGCUUGAGGGCUAGGUAGAUAUACUUGCGACUUGAGAAAGGCUUGAGAGCGAAUACCACUUGAACCAUUUAGGAUAUUGGCAUCUUCUUUUAUCGAGAUAUAUAAGUUAGAACUUAGCCGGAACUUGUACCCUUGGAAAAAAAAUGAAAUUUACGACUAAUAGAAAUACGUUUUCUUUGUCACUUCCAUUCAAAUGGAGAUUUUAAAGUUUUACGAGUGAGCAUAAGUUUUACAAAUAUUUUACUUAUAUUCUUUGGUUUCAAUGUACUCUUUUCACUACCAAAACUAUAUUUAUAUUUUGUACUAGUACGUAUUCGAAUUUUCGUUGAAUCACUUAAAUCUUUGAUAGUUGAAGCAUAAUGUGUUCUUUUGAUUAUAUUAGGGUUCCUUGGUGAUUGAGGGCAAUACCCAGAAGAACACUUUGGAUAUUAUUUUGCGUACAUAGGUGAGUCUUCCUUGGUUGCUAUACUUUCUGACUUCAUGGCUUGUGUUAUUGUUUGAUAAUGUGUUAAGUGCUUUCAAGCAUUUCCAACGAGUUUCUAGGCGAGUGUGUACUUUAUCGCACUAGACCUAAAUGAAUGUGAAAUUUUCAACGAUUUCAAGGAUUGAAACAUUACUUGUGCAUGAUGUAAGCCUUUUGGCUGAACUGGGCUCUGCCCUUCGUUACUGAUCGACUCGAGUCAGAAGCAGACUCGGUCGGGCGAUUUGGUGACCCUGAGUGAAAGUUUGGUAUACUAGAGUAUUACCUUGUAUUCUGAUGGAGCCUGGCCAACGUCCAGGAGGGGGUGAAUGAAAUGAAAGAACGAACAAGGGUUUUACUUACAAAAAUACAUUUUCAAAUGAUUGGAGGAAUAAGGGGAAUGACAGGAGAAUGAACAAACGAACGAAUGUAUGGCUCCUUGUGAGCCCGUAUCCUUUUAAUGAAUGUGUUACUAUCGCUUUCCAUUGUAAAUGUUUCUUGAAUUAUUGAUACUCUAUGUUUAAUGUAUUGGAUUGAUUGUUUGGUUAUGUGUUUAGAACCUCACUGAGCUUUUAGCUCAUCCCUUUAGUUUUAUUUUCCUUAACAGGGGAAGGCGAGUCAGGACGAGAGCUUUGUAUCGACUAACUUAGUCCAGUUUCUUGAAUUUGGUAAUGGUUCUCGCCUUAGUGCAUGGCAUGAGUUGGAUGUAUGAAAAUUGAGAACCUUUGUAUAUUCAAUGGUUGUACUCCUUUUUGAGAUAGCAAUGUAUAUAAGUUUUGCUUUAAGUUUUGGAUCGUUGUUAUGUUUAUUCUUGUGGGUUUAUUUUGGUUUUGAUUGAGGAUUGAAGUGAACGACUGAGUUCCAGCGAGAGUUGGACAGGCGGUCCGCCGAACCCUUUGGUUCGCCUUAGGGGAAGAUAGGGCUAUCACAGUUGGUAUCAAGCCUGCUUAGCAUGGUCUCUGCGCGGAGUGAGCCUGGAUUGAGUGGUGAAUAGGUAUAAAGGAUUAAGUGCUCGUUCGAGCAUAAGCUAUGAAUUGUGAAUGUUAUAGGCCUUAAAUUUUCUUGCGGUAUCUGAGGACCAUAGAUAGGUACGUCAGGUAGGAAUCUCGAUUGUAGAUAGUUUACUCUUGGGAUUGGCCAGGUCGAAAUGUGAAUUGUCUUAUUUCGGCUUCUCGUGCCCAAGUACUCUAGAGUUAAGGCGAUGCUAAGCAUGUGUGAUUUGUAUUUUGGGAACAUGAACAGGCUUUGUUCAACUGGAAUGAGUACAAGAGGUCAAUGGAUGUCUAGUUUGGAUAGGAAGUGACGUGAGAGACUGGACGGGGUUUAUCUUAGCUGAGACUGGGAUGACUUCACCUUUUCUUUUGAUUCGCCCGUAUAUUGUUACUGCAUGACAUUAAUUUCUGUAUUUGUGUAUAUGAUUAUCUGUCCAACUUGAUAUGUAUUCGUGUAUUUGAUUAUCUGUCUCCCUGAUAUGGUGUGUUACUUGCGUAUAUGUUUAUUUGUGUAUUUGGUACGUUGGAUUUUGUUAUUUUAGUCAAUUUACUUCAUUCAUUCAUUAAAUUACCCUUUUGAAAAGAAAAGAAAGAGAGAGGGGAAAAAACUAUAUGAAGGGAAGACGUAGUUGCAGACGUGGUCGUGGCCGUGGAAAUAAGUGAGCCCAAGAGCCAAGAGAAGAAAGGGAAACAACAGCUGAACAAAGACAAGGGCCGAGAGUGCCACUUGUACUUAGGAAUUUAAUAUGACCCAUUGUUUUGCCCGGCAGGCUAUCAUCUGAGUUCCAGCGACUCCGUGAGAUGGCACAUUGGGUUGAUAUGUAUAAGGAAAUCGCGGUUUUUCGAGGCGAAAUAGAGGUCCAAAGGAAACUAGCUGAGUACUGGGAAGGGCGAUGGAAGCACGAGUAUUCGGAGAAAAUUGAGCUCUUGCACAAGAACAUAGAGCUAAAAAGGAAAUACAAAGGGAUUUUCGAGGAGGCCUUAGCAAUGGCACAAAGCACUACUUCUAUGGGGGUUCCGGAGGAAGCUCAAAAGAUAGAAAUUGCAAGGCCACAAGUGAAGAUCUCCCAUGCAAAGAAAAGGGGUGCAUCUCUUAAAAGUCAAAGGCCAGAACAGGGUGAGUGAGGUAGGCCAUUCGCUAAGAUGGGUCGUGGAGCGGGUGGUGUGAAAAUUUUGGAGACACUUAGGGAAGAUACUCCAGGAGGAAACCCAAGUGGAGAAGGACCACUGCGAGGUAUCUCACAAGAAGAUCAAACCUCAAUCCCUUUUCCAUUUUGUGGCUAUUGUAGAAAAGCCAACCAUAUUGAGGUGGGUUGUUGGAAAAAGGGGGGAAGAUGUCUGCGCAGUGGGAGCGCCAAGCAUCGGAUUGCUAAUUGCCCGAUUCGAUUGCGUGAAAAGAAAGGAACCCAGCAACCAAGACCAACCCUGGACCGUCAAAUGGAGAAGGGACUGGAAUGAAGAUCCUCGUUUCUUCUGAGGACGUAGAAGGUACAAGCCAUUGGUUACUUUAGAUUUUGAUGGAUCCCGUUGAUAGGAAAAUUUCGAGGACAAAAUUUCUUUAAGGGGGGAACAGUGUGAGAACCCUAAAAAAAAUUUCACAUUUUCUCACCAUUAUUUUAUUUCUUUACCUACAUUUUAUACUUUCCUUAGAAAUAUUAAAAUUUCUAUGCAUUUUCACAAGCAAGUACAGUUUUAAAAUCAUUUUUCCUAGUAUGAGUUAGUGUACAUUAAUUUGAAGUGCGUUAUAGAUGUGGGACCCGCUAGUGCGAUAUAAGUUUGGUGACUAAGUGAUUUUUGUGCUAAGUGUUAUUAUUAUACAAGGUGCUAGAGGAUAAUUAGAGGUUUGUUAUAUGAUGUAACCAUUGGAAGCCAAAGGAUUAGAGAAAACACUAGAAAGGCCAAGUGUUGCAAACCCAUUGGAGGUUGGACUUUGACCUUAUUUUCACCUUUACUAAAAACCAAAUUUUGACCAAAAUAUCUUCAUUUUUCUUGCUUCUUGGCCGACUCUCUUGAGGGGAGAAACAAGAGAGAGCUCUUCAAUUUCUUGCUUCCAAACUUGCUCAAAUCUUGAAUUUUAGCCAACCAAAUUUGAAACUACACCAUACAAGUGCUCAACUAGGAAGCUUGAUGGUUUUGGUGGAGUUGUUUUGGAGGAGGAAAGACUAAACCACUAUCUUCUUGUGGUUUUAAGGUAUCUUGCCAAGAAAUCUCUCUUUACUUUUAAUACUAGAUUUGUUGUUAGCUUAUUUUGGUUCAAAGGUGCUUGUAAAGCUUAUAUCAAGUGAUUUUGGAUAGUUGGGGGUGAUGAAUUUGAGUUAGGGUUUGAAUGAUUCACUUAUCAUACUUAUUGUGUGGGUGGUAUAUGAUGUAUAUAAGGUGGUAUAAGAGGUGGUAGUGAUGGUUUCAAGCUAAAAAUGAUAUUUAUACCUUGAUUGUAGCAAAUUUUCAGAAUUGAAGUUAAGGUAUACCCUGUUCUGCCCGGUUCUAGUUCACUAUGUUAGAGGUCGAAUUAGACUUAGCCUAAAACAUGAAAGUUGUAUAAAAUGAUGUUUUAUAGUUUUUUACAAAAUUUCAGCUCAAUCGGCGGAACGUAACCUAUGAAAAGACCGAAAUACCCUGACUGCCCUAGGUAAAUCCAGUGCUCAGUUUGAAUAUUUCACCAAUCUGGUUGUGUCUUUUCACCAUGAUAUGUACUGAAAUAGUAUUUAGCCAAAAUAUGAAAGUUUUAUUAUUAUGUCUUAGCUUUCCAACGCCACUGGAAGCACCUUAAUCGGACUUCGGUAGCCUGAGUUAUUGUCGUUUAAGCAUAGUGUGGUUAACUGACCUGUUUGUGAGAUUCUGGUUCUAUAAUUCGACAUUUUGACCUAAAUACACUAUGAACUGGACUAAGUGGUCAUCAUCAAAGUUGUAGAUCUCUGUCUUAGCUUCGAAACGGUAUAAAUUUCACCUCAAUCCGAUAAUCGUAGCCUCGGUUGUGUCCGUUAGGCAAAACAACGUCAAAACUGUUUUGUCUUUUUUCUUGACGCGCAAACUUCAUUUCCGCACAUGUUCCUAACUUGAUUUGUACUUGUAUGACUCUGAGCCUAUGGAAUGUCUAUUGAAAUGAGAUGAUUUUGUGUGUGACUUUGGGAUUAAUUGAGAAAAUAAUGAAACCAUAAAUGGCUGGAAAAUAGGUAAAUACAAAGGGCGUGCUGAGAAAAGCUUGAGAGCGAAUACCACUUGAACCAUUUAGGAUAUUGGCGUCUUCUUUUAUCAAGGUAUAUAAGUUAGAACUUAGCCGGAACUUGUACCCUUGGAAAAAAUGAAAUUUAUGACUAAUAGAAAUACGUUUUCUUUGUCAUUUCGACUCAAAUGGAGAUUUUAAAGUUUUACGAGUGAGCAUAAGUUUUACAAAUAUUUUACUUAUAUUCUUUGGUUUCAAUGUACUCUUUUCAUUACCAAAACUAUAUUUAUAUUUUGUACUAGUACGUAUUCGAGUUUUCUUUGAAUCACUUAAAUCUUUGAUAGUUGAAGCAUAAUGUGUUCUUUUUGAUUAUAUUAGGGUUCUUUGGUGAUUGAGGGUAAUUUCCGGAAGCACACUUUGGACGUUAUUUUGCGUACAUAGGUGAGUGUUCCUUGUUUGCUAUAUUUUCCUUGACUUCAUGGCUUGUGUUAUUGUUUGAUAAUGUAUUAAGUGCUUUCAAGGAUUUCCAAACGAGUUUUCUAGGCGAGUGUGUACUUUAUCGCACUCGACCUAAAUGAAUGUGAAAUUUUCAAUGAUUUCAAGGAUUGAAACGUUACUUGUGCAUGAUGUAAGCCUUUUGGCUGAAUUGGGCCCUGCCCUUCGUUACCGAUCAAUUCGAGCCAGAAGCGGAUUCGGUCGGGCGAUUUGGUGACCCUGGGUGAAAGUUUGGUAUACUCAAGUAUUAACUUGUAUUCUGGUGGAGCCUGGCCAAUGUCCAGGAGGGGGUGAAUGAAAUGAAAGAAUGAACGAGGGUUUUACUUACAAAAAUGCAUUUUCAAAUGAUUGGAGGAAUAAGGGGAAUGGCAGGAGAAUGAACAAACGAACGAAUGUAUGGCUCCUUGUGAGCCCGUAUCCUUUUAAUUAAUGUGUUAUUUUCGCUUUCCAUUGUAAAUGUUUCUUGAAUUAUUGAUACUCUAUGUUUAAUGUAUUGGAUUGAUUGUUUGAUUAUGUGUUCGGAACCUCACUGAACUUUUAGUUUAUCCCUUUAGUUUUAUUUUCCUUAACAGGGGAAGGCAAGCCAGGACGAGAGCUUUUUAUCGACUAGCCUAGUCUAGUUUCUUGAAUUUGGUAAUGGUUCUUGCCCUAGUACGUGGCAAAGGUUGGAUGUAUGAAGAUUGAGAACCUUUGUAUAUUCGAUAGUUGUACUCCCUUUUGAGAUAGCAAUGUAUAUAAGUUUUGCUUUAAGUUUUGGAUCGUUGUUAUGUUUAUUCUUGUUGGUUUAUUCUGGUUUUGAUUGAGGAUUGAAGUGAACGACUGAGUCCCGGCGAGAGUUGGGCAGACAGUCCGCCGCCGAACCCUUUGGUUCUCCUUAGGGGGAGAUGGGGCUAUCACAGUAAAAUUACGAGUAUAGGUAUAAAAAUUUUGAGUAUAGGAGAAAUUAUGAGAGUAUAGGACAAUGAACCAAAGGUUGAAUCCAUAGAGCUGAUUUGAAAGAUUUUCUUCAUGUUCCCAAUGCUAGGUAUAAGGUUGAUUUGAAGAAAGUAUUUAAACCUCGUGACUCGGACUCUUGGAACAUGGUAGAGGCACUUGUAUGCUUGGGAGUUGAGUAUAAAGCCACUCGUAAAGUCAGAUGAUAUUCCGUAUUAACUUCCUCUUUGAAGGAGCCAUAUCGUCUUCUCAUCUAUUUGUUCGCCUCCAAUGUUAUUCCACGAGCAAGUGGUACUAAUGUGGUGCACACUAUUGAUGUCUAUUUCUUAGACAAGACGGAGCAUGGAUUAGGCAAUCUCCAAAGUAUUCCUUUAUGAAGCAUUAUCACCAACUACAUGUGGACAAUGGUUCAAAAUAAUGAUGUCAAACAUGCUUUCCCAUAUGCUCGUUUCUUAACAUUGCCAUUUCAAAGGGCUGGAGUGAAUUUCACUAAUGCUAUCCCUGUGCGCCUCAAGAAGAAAGAUGUGUUUAUACUGGAUUUUUGCAAAUAUCUUUUAAAGGCAAAGAGACUAGUGGCCCUUCAACUCAAGGUGAUGUUCAAGGUGAAGCUCGAUAGGAGGAAGAAGUAGAAAUUGCAUAUUUAAAAGAAGCUCAAGGGUUGAGACAAAUUCCCAAGCGACUUCAAUCAACCCUUCCUCCUCACAUCCUCCUCUAUCACCUCAAGACGCUUGAUCUUUUUUUCGAAAAGAUGGACAAAUUGCUUUGUAUCGAGGCCGAGGUAAAGAAGAGUUGAAGAGAGCAUAAAAGGAACUCCGAGCAUUUUUAUGCACUAAGGUUAAACUUGCAACAAUGCACCACUGACUCCACCCUCUUCACUUGACCAAGUGGCUACUUAAGGGAGAUCAUCUCAUUUCCCUUAUCCUUUCCCAAUUUGCAUGAUUCCCCUUCUCAUUGCAUUUUAGUUUCCUUUUAGUUGUUUUUUGUAUGUUUUAGCUCUUUUUAUCCAAGUCAUCUUCAAUUAUGUAGUAGUGCUUGAGAUUUGAUGGGAUUAGAACAACAUCAUAAGGCAUUGGACUUAGAAAACGCAAGUUAUAAGAGGAGUAUUAUUUCUUAUCAUUUUGUUCUCUACUUCUCACACAUUUAGUACCAUGUGUAGUUUAAGUGUGAGGGAGGAGAAUUAUUUGAAAUUACAUUUUAUGCCUUGCGAUGGAUUUUAUGCCUGUUAAUGCUUGUGAAAUGUUGGAAUGAUAUUUGGAAAUAAUGUCAUGUGAAUUUUUUUUUUUUAUCAAAUUUGAGUUUGUUGGUAGAGAGUUUCGUCCAUUCUUAUGGGGAGAUUGUGUCAAAAAUUUUCCAAAAUCUUUGACAAAUUUCACUUUGGCCCAAAAAUUUUUAUCUUUUUGCUAUCUUAUGUUAAUUGGGCCAAAUUGUUCCAUCGAUUAUAAUUUUAAUUCUUCUACAUGUUGAAACAAUUAUGUGCAUCUUAGAAAAUUUAGUCUUCAUUUCAUUUGGAAUUAGUUAUUAUGCAAUUAGGAUUUUUGUUUCUUAGAAAGUAUAUCUUACAAAGUGGGGGAAAGGAUGCCUAUAUUUACAUGAUGAAUGAGAUUUCUCCCCUUUAUUAAAUUUUACAAGUGGGCAAUUGUAUAGUUAAUAAAAUCUAAUCUCUUCCUUUGUUUAUAUUAUGUUUUAUGAAGAAGGCAUGUUUAGUUAUUGUAGCUUGUUCAUAAAAAAAAAUAGAAAGAAAAAAAAGAGAAGAAAGUGAGAAUAAGAGUUUUUUUUCCUACUCCAAUGAUUCUUGUACUAAGUAACCAAGGGUUGCCAUCUACAAAUGUUGACACUAGCAUAAAAAGAUACUCAAAUUAAGAGUAUGUAAGCAACUUGAAUAGUGAAAUGUUAAAUAACUGGGGAUCCUCACAGAAAAGUGUCAAUUUUCGCUUCAAAAGACAUUUUUGCUAUUCGAGUAAGAAUUUUAUGAAUAAAGUACCUCUUAGUUGUUCAAAAAAAAUGAUGAAAAUGAUUGUAAGAGGAGAAAAGCAUCAAUUGACUAUGUGAUUUGCUUAUUUGUGAAAUUAAGUUAAGGUGAUAGAUUGUGUUUAACUUAUUGAAAUUCGGGUAUAAUUAUCUUCCCUUUAUUUGAUAUUAUAAGUACUUGAAGUAAUUUAAAUAAUUGUAUGAUGAUUGAUUGCCAAGUUGAACAGAACUUGAAUUUGAAAGAAUGCAUAUAAUGUUUCAACUCUUAACUCAUUUUUAUUGAUUUUGUGUCGAUUAUUUGAGGACAGGCAAUGACCUAAGUGAGGGGGAAUUGAUAAGUGACAAACUUGAGUGACUUUUGAUGAGAAAUCAUGUGACAGUCCCACCUCACUCUAAGGCGAACCAAAGGGUUCAGCGGACCGCCUGUCCAACUCUCGCCAGGACUACAGAGUCGAAUUCACAAACCGUAUAGUACGCGUAAUAAGACCCAAAGAAAAUGAACAAAUAAAAACCACCAAGCUCCAAUAUCACUUACCAAAUCAUGUGGUGAAACAGGAUAUCGAUUAAACACUCACCAAAGUCAUAGAAGCGUAACAUCUCAAUGAAUACACUUAAUAGACAAAAUUAAAUACUUAUACAUGUAUUUACAUCAGAGCCUUCAACAUUUUAACUUGAAGUACAAGGCAAAGGGCUCAUACUAGUCAAAAUAUAAUUAGGGUUUCGGUUACAAAGGAGCUUAACAAAAUAACAUAUACAUUAGCUCGACCAUUUCUUCCAAAACCGUGGUUUCAAAGUUUGUCCCCUGUAAGGAAAACAAAGAUAAUGGGAAGGGGUGAACUUACGCUCAAUGAGGUACCAAAAUAAUAGCAAGCAAAUCUGGGCAUUUCAUGUUGAACCAAUCAAGUAUACAUGCCAGAGAUAAAGUAAAUAGUUAGACACAAUGAUUCAAAUAGGAAGGAUACAGGUGGCUCUCAGGAACCAGAUUUCCAUUGUAGUACUUGAUCCCAACCUGUUGACUCUCCAUCAACGUAUAUAGAACCAACAUGUCUGUAGACCCCACUUUACACCAAAUUUCAUCCACCAAACAUACCCCUUACCAAGCCCGAACACCUCAACAGAAACAGAAGUGGUAAUACUCGAGUAUACCGGAAUCAAGAGUCUCAAUACCCAAAGAUUCCCAGAAACAGACUACCAUGGCUUGUUAUCUAAUCGACUAGACCCUUGCCGGCUCGACUCGAGUAACUAGCCACAGGUUUUGAGUUCAGAGGUCGCAGACUUAUACAGAGAACAGAUACAGAGAGCAAAUACAGGCUUAUAUAGUAUGCAAGAAACAAGUAAACAGACGAGAGAAACGAGAGUGAUAAAGUACACCCUCAUUUCAUACAGAAUAUACAGAAGUCACGGAUAGCCAGAUAAGCAACAAAUUAGGGAAGUGGUACACUCACCAGUUCCAGUACAAGUACUUCAAAAUUUCACCCAGAAUGACCUUAAUCACGAAACCCUAAGAAUAACAAAGGUAAAGUAGUUGAAGUUUCCACAUCCAAAACCGAGUAAAUGGGAUGCACAAGUGAGGCUCGACUACAAGUCGUAUGCCUUCCCAGGUUAAGUACUAGUACAAAAGAAUAAAAUAUGAGUUUGAGCAAAAAGAUAACAGUUGGUCCUAGGGUUACAAACAACUCCCAAAACCCAUCAUCUUUACCAAGAUCAACUCAACUUGAAGGAAUCGCGUAGCCCUAAAAUUUUGGGCAGCAUGCCCUCUGUAUUUACCUAUUUUCCAGCCAUUUAUGGCUUCAUUGUUUUCCUCAAUAAAUCCCAAAGCCACACAUAAAAUAAUCUCAUUUCAAUAGCCAUUCAAUAGGCUCAAAGUUGUACAAGUACAAAUUCAAGCUAGGAAAAUGUCCGAAAAUGAAGUUUAAGUCAGAAAACAAAAGACAGAUUUGACUUUGCUUAGCGGAACAGACACAACCAAAGCUACGCUUAUCGGAUUAGGGUGCAAUUUAUACUGUUUCGAAGCUAAGAUAAAGACCUACAACUUUGAUGAAGAUCACUCAGUCCAGUUCAUAGUGUAUCCAAGUCAAAAUUUCAAAUUACAGAACCAGCAUCUCACAAUCAGACUAGUUAACCACACUAUGAUUAAACGACAAUAACUCAGGCUACCGAAGUCCGAUUGAGGUGUAUCUUAUGGUAUUUCGAAACCAAGACAUAUACCUACAUUUCUUAUGAAGGCCUCCAAAGCUAAAUCAUGCAUUUUCAGAGUCAAAAAUUGAAAUCUCCACAAAGACAGAAAACUGUCUACAAAACAGGGUUUAUGGGUAGUCAAGGGUAUUUCGGUCCUUUCACAUGCUACAAUAAUUCAAUCGAGUUGAAAUUUUACAGGAAGCUAUAAAACAUCAUUUUCUACAACUUUUAUGUUUUAUGCUAAGCCUAAUUCGGCCUCUAACAUGGUCAAACAGAACCAGGUAGAAUAGGGCAAAUUGGAAACCUUAAAACUGAAAUUUUUGCACUCUAGCUGAAAUUCUUUGAAGGCAAGUAAAACUAGCAUUUUCAAGCACAAAAUUACUCAUGACAACUACUAAAUCAUGGCUAAACAAAAAUCAUCAUAGAGGACAGAAAAUUUACUAUAAAAACUGAAAUUCACCAUGCCCCUACUUCAAACCAUAAACUUGUCCACAAAACUACAUAUUUAACCUCUCCAAUCCACUAAUUGACAAUUAUCAAGAGUAAAAGAAAUUUCUAAAUUUACCUUGAAACUAGAGGAAAGAUGAUAGCUUAGGGUUUCUUCUACAAAAAUCACUCCACCAAGACCUUUGUUCCUCCUUAAUAAGCACUUGUAUGGUGUAGUUUCCAAAACUAACAGUUAAAACUCAAGAUUCAAGCAUGGAAUGGAGGAAGAAGUUGAGGUUUUCUCUCUCUCUCUCUUUUCUAGCUAAGGAAGUCGGCCAAGAGGAAGAAAGAAACGAAGAAAUUUUGUCUAAUUUUUUCCAAGAUAAAGAUCAAAAAAAUCUUGGUCAAAAGUCAAGGUCCAAUGGUUUUGUGACAAAUGGUCCUUUAGGGUUUUAAUCUUAUCCUUUUGUCUACCAAUGAUAAUUUAUCUAACUAAUCUCUAAUUGUCUCCUAGCAUCUUGUACAGUAAUAUUCCUUUAUACAAAACUUCAAUUAAUCGGCAAAAAUUAUCGCACUUAGCACACUAGCGGGCCCCACAUCCAUAAUACGCUUCAAACUGAAUAUGAACUAACUUAAACUAGGAAAAUGAUUUAAAAACUUUACUCACUUAUAAAAUGUCUGAAAAAAACAAUAUAAUAAGGUACAAUGAAGAAAAUGCAUACGAGAAAAUAAAAUAAACUAAUAUAAAAAUAAGGGAAAUUUACGGGUCCUCACAAAUCAUGUCAUUGUUAGUCACUUUUGGGAUAUUUAAGGUGAAACAAGUCAUUUUUUUAUUAAAAAGUGGUUAAUAAGUUUAUUAGAAUCUUAAGUGGUUUAUGUCUCUUUUAAUCGCAUUAUUUUCAUGAUUUAUAUAGGAAUUGACUCUGGACUUCAUUUUGGACAAGAAAGGGUUUAUAUUAAGUUGACUAGAGGAUGGCGAGUUUUAAGGGUGAUUCGAGUCGCAAGAAAAAGAAAACAAAGAAACUUGUCAAAAAGGAAGUCGACUUGAAUCCUCAAAGGAAUCCAACCAUUUUUUGGAGGAAUUGCUUCGAGAGAUUCAUGGCAAUGAGUUGGAUUGCAAAAUCAAAUUUUGAAGAAAAACAAGGUAGGAAUCUGGUCAAGAAAUCCAGCUGGACUUUGGAGGGAUUACUUGGAGAGAUUCUGGUCAACUUUUGAGGCUACAACUUGUCCAACUUGAUUUCACCUCCAUAAUUUCACUUCUUUUUACAAACUUUUGCAGCUCAUUUGCAGCUAUAAUAAUGAUAGUUUGAGUCUCAUUUCUUGGCUUGUAACAUCUAUAUAUUCAUGUCUUAAGCAAGAAAAAAGAGCUUUUAGUUCUCAGCACUUAGACUAGGUAUUUUUUUCUCACCAGUAUAGAGAAAUCUGUACGAAGAAUUUGGAGAAAUAUUUCAUUUGUAACAACUCACUUUGGUUGAGAAAUAGAAGAUUUUUGGGAGUUUGCUCAUCAUUUGGCUAACCUUUCUCAACUAUCUCUUUAUUUUUUUUGUGCAAUAUGAGUCUAAGCAAUGAAUCUUAGUGUUUACUUGUUUUAUCUAAUACAUGAAGCUAAAUUUUUAGAUUUAGGGAGUAGAUUAAACUAAUGGUUCCUUGAAUAUGAAUUGAAUAUGGAUUACACUCGUUAUCUCUUGUAAUAACUUGUCCAUUUAUUCUUGCUCUAUUACUUGUUGUUUGAUCACCAUGGCAGGCUAGUAGUUGUUAUUACUCAAUGAUAAUUGGUAAUAAUAAUGGAAAGUGAUAAAUGGAACUUAAGGAGUAGGCUCGAGAGAGUAGAGAUAUACUUAAGUGGAUUUUCUUGAACAUUUCAUGUAGUAAAUAAACUAGAUUUAGAUCUUCACCAUGAGAGUAGGGAAGACUAGGUUAGUUAAUACCAUUUCAUCAUAAGAAUGAGUUUUGGUUAAUGUUGGAAAUGAAUCCCUAGUUAGAUAAGAAUAGUAAUAAAAGGUAAAUUCAUUCGCUUUCCUUUUUGGACCAUUAGUGAACUCUACAACCUAGAACCUUAGCAUUUAGAUUAUCUUUUCCAUUUGUCUUUCUUUACAAGUUAGUAGUUUGAAGUAUUAAUUAGUAAAUUAGUUGCUUGUUAUUGCUUUUAAUUGAUAUUAGUCUAGACAAUAGAGUAAGCCAAGGACCUAGUAAUUGAUUAGACGCUCCUUGUGGGAUCGACCCUAACGCACCUCGUACUUCUAAUUUGACCUGUAUGCUUGCAACAAACGGGUUUAUUUUGGAUUUAAACCUGUACACAUAUUUGAAACCCGUCAAAGUGACAACUCCAAAUUCAAUCACAAAAGACUUUGUAAUUGUAAAUAAAGAGUAAGAAAUUUCGCUUUUCUCUACUAUUUAACAUAUGAUUAUAUUUUAACAUCAUAUUUUUGAUUAACUUCUUUCUAUUCAAAGAAAAAAACUGAUACUACUUACUUUGUGGAAUGAGUUCCUAGAAUACGAAGGCAACAUCCUUACUAACACCAUUGCUGGUGUUCCUAUGGUGUUUGCUAUGAGAGUAAAAGUCUCUAUUUUCAAUAGUAAGCCUACCUACCUGAGGAAUUUAUUAUAUGCCAACCAUCUAUGACUUAUAUUUCUCAUACAUAAAAAUCCUUUUUCUCUAUUUCAAUAGGUCUAUCUUUGGGCACAAUAAGACUAUUUGGCAUUGUCAUCAAUCCACUAGUCCACGGGGAUUGUCACUUUGUCAAUGGUAUUUUAUCUAUCCCCUAUUCUUUAAAUACAUAUACAAUUAAUCAUCCUAAUUACUCUAUAUUAUGAAAAUAUAGUGUAGGUAUAGCAUCCAUAAAGAAGAAGUUAAAAAUCCAUUGGCAGCAAAAGCAUACAAGAAUCCAACAUUGCUGCUGCCACCACCAACUCGGGAGGAUAUCAACACCAUUCAUGAUUGGCUUCAUUUGCAACUGUUAGAACAAUCCAAUUUCUUAGCCUAACCAGUCAAUCUAAUCAUUUUAUACUUUAAAUUUUUGAAAAAUAAAAUAGUAAUAUACUGAAAUUUUAAUUCAUUUAUAGCAAAAAGCAGCAUGGAUAAGUGGAAAUGUCCAGUUAACAUUAAGACUGUUGAGCCAAACGCAAAUUAAAUCAAAAGAUGUUCAUCAAGCAAACAAGAAACUAACGUGGAACUGAGGUAUCAUUGUAUAUUUAACUUGUAAAAAAAGUACUCCUUCACAUUCUGUAUUCUACUAUAUACUAAACCUAUUAUGUUUUAUUUAAGGUGCCGAAUUGGAAUAACACUAACUAAUUCAAUGGGAAUCAUUCAAUGUCUGAUAUAUGGAAAGAAGUAUAUAUAUUGAUACAAUUGACUGCUACCCAACUUAGAGAAGCAAAAGAACAUGUAUAGUACUAAACUUCACUUUUAAGUUAUUUUUUGCUGCUCAUAUGUACAAACAUGAAUAUACAAAUACUCAAAUUCAUUAUUCUAAUAUCAAGGACUAAUAAUGAAUCAAGAAAUUUCUGCCAUCAUGAGAAAAUACAAAUUAAUCUUUUUUUUUGAAAAUAUGUGAGACAACUUUCCAAGGAUAAUGUUAGAGGAGAAACACAAUCAUUAAAACCUACACCACAAAUGAGCUCCCUAAGGCACGACUACCUCUACUAGAUCUACCAAUAACUAUCCAACCCUUGGAAGUUGCCACAUCAUCAAGCAGCAAACAAAACAGCUACUAGAAGAUCAAAUAUUCACACCAAUUGCAAAGUUGGUGCUUGAAAAAAUAGCUAAAUUCACUGUUAACAAAGGAAUAUUCAUUGCUGAACCAACUGCGACAAAAAGCGUUCUGACAUUCACUAAAGUAGAGGCUCAAUAGAUAGCCCUCACAAAUACUAUAGCACAGAGCCACAAGAUAGUUGAAGACAAUGCUGCUGUCAUAAAUUCACCAAAAGUGCUUCAACUGACAAAGCCACCACAAGCCCAGCAAAGAAGCUCAAACAACAAGAAGAAGAGAAUUAACCUCUUAUGAACUCUGACUACAAUCUUUUGCUAUUAUUAUAAAAGAAUGUGGUAUUCUGGUAUACAAGUCUAUCAUGGCUCAAGUGCAGUGUUAGAAUCCAUUGCUCCAAUAUCAUCUAUUGCUCCAAUAUCUUUUGAUAGAGCAAUGUAUUCUAUUACUUGGAUAUACUAGCACCUUGCUUAGCAACUUGAAACAAUUAUUUACUACAAGUAGCUCUAGAAUCAUAUCAGCAUCUAUUGUUUCAAUACUUUUUGAUAAAAUAAUGCAUGCUAUUGUUACUACCAUAGAACAGUAUGAUAGUUAGGUCUAUAACUAUAUUAUUCUCAAAAUGCAGUAUUAGAAUCAUCUGGUCCAAUAUCUUUUGAUAGAAUAGUGCAUUCUAAUACUUAUAUGUGAUACAACUUUGUCUAGUAGGAUGAAUCUAUAGUUUUGUGUGAACAGUUUAAAAUUUGUAGAAAUUUGUCUACAAAAUAACUUAUGACUUUAUAUACAUCUAUAGAUGAACUAUCAAUCCUCAUGUAUAAUUUGGAUUCUGACAACUAUAUUUCAUAUAUAACAGGUUGAACGUUAAUUAAAUGUCCAAUUGGAUUUAGAUGAAUCAUUAUUUAAUCUGACGAAAACUUUUUACCAUUUCAAAUGAGUAGCUUGUUUUUGCAUCACAUAAAAAUUUAGAUAUGACAAUCUAUACAUUUAGAAAUGAAAGUCAUGAAAGUUUUCCAUCAUUUAGACCUAACAUAUUGGGCAUUGGCUAUGCCUUGCACAACCAGAAAUUUUUUAGUACUAUGACAUAUAAAAUUGAGAAGGAUAGAUGUCACAUAAUGUGCCAAUAGACAUAUCUAUCAAGUAUCAACUAGUAAAAGUAACUCAAUGAGUCACUAAAGUUUAUAAGCUAAAAGUUUAAGUACUGAAUAAGUUCCCGCGUGCCACCUCAUCUUACAACCUCGUAUGUUUGCAUGGGAUACUGUAGCAAAUAGUGCCAUUACCUAACUCACUCAUCAAGCUCAUGAUAUAAAUACCACAUACCUUUGAGGAAGAAGGAUUUGAUCUCCAGAAUUUUUAACUUCCAUGCUCUUUUGCUGGCCAACUAUUCUCCCCAAUCUCCCUAAAUUGAUUUUGGUAUGGACCUAUUUUGCAGGAAUUAGCCCGCGCCUUUCUUUGCAGGUUCAACCCCGAGGCGGAUCACCUGAUGGUCACCAAAAAAUCAAGAAAUUCACCAAGGAUAUAUUUUCAACCAAUAAAUUAAUCAUACUAUAGGAUUCAGCAACAUAAACAACAUACAUUCUAUUUGUAAUGCAGAAAAUUGAAAAGUAUAACAAAGUUGAAUUAUCAAAGUCAUCUUAAUGCACGCUGGUCUUUCAGUACUUCAUUUUAGUCUUAAGAUGUAUUUCUUUUUUUCCUAAAGUUUUAUGUGGAUAUUUUAGGUAAAAAGUCGAGUGAUAAUAAAAGAAACAACAAGUACUUAGUAAUUUAACUAAAAAUUUGUUUUCCUUUGCUUGCUUCUAAAACAGAUGAUUCUUCCUCCACUUGACAUCCCGCUUGAGUACUCUCUUUGUCCUUUUAUUCAUUACUCUUUUAAUAUGUCUCAAAAUAUUUAUUUUCUUUAAAUAAAAACUUUGUAUCACAAGAUAUAUUUUUUUCAAGCAUCUUAUACGCUAAAAAUGUAAGUUGAAUUAUAAGUUGCUAUUAGGUUUUUUCACCUUUUUUUUUGGUUAAACACAUUAAAUCUUUGAGCUUUGUUUCCACUUGCACUUUGUUGGAAAAGAGGUAUCGAUACAGGCAUACAAUAUCAAAGUUAACCCAAGAAAAAUUAUACUUUUCCCAAGUACCAAUUAAAAUAGAAACAAACCAAAUCACCAAGCAAUGAAACCAACAAUAAUAAUAAAAAUUAGAAAACUUAAAAGCACAAGACACCAAGAUUUUUAACAAAAAAACCCAAAUUGGAGAAAAUCACAGUAUUUAGUCCAAUCAAAAUCUUCACUAUCACAAUAAUGGGCAUAUAUACCUAUUCAAACAUCUAGAUGACAACGACAUCAUCAAUGUCAACCAAGUGAAAUUGAUACAAAUUCAUCUCCCAAAAACUAAUAUUGUCAAAGAAGUGGGUUUGAAAGAGUGUUAACAAGUGAAGAGAAUAGAACUUGACAAGAAGAUUGCAUGGCUAAAAUUUUGUCUCAAUCGGGUUUUAAAUUACCAUCCAAUCAAGGUUUUGAAGUUUCAAAACACCUCUCUCUUUGUCUCUCUAUCUAGCUUCUUUCUCCCCAGUCUCCCUCUUUCUCUCUCUUUGUUCUCACUCGAGGUUGGCAGCUGAAGAUUUUCUCUUGUUUUUAAAUGAAACCCAUGGCUCUAGUACUAGUCAAGAGACUAAUCACUGGGUUUGCUUCAAGUCAAGUUGAUCAACUAAUGGGUUUUUUGUUUCAUGGGCCACCAAAUGAUGAGGACCAAGCCAAAUAAUCUCCCACUCCAACUUAUUUAGGAGCUCCACUAAACCUGUUUUCUAUCUGCAAAACAAGAGUUUCUCUAGGUAAUAACUUAGUCAACAUAUUAGUAUCAUUUUCAUUAGUGUGAACCUUCUCAAGUGUCAAUAACUUGGAAUCCAAAACAUCUCGAAUCCAAUGAUACCUCAUAUCAAUAUUCUUGGUUCGAAAGUGAAAUGUAGAAUUCUUACAUAAAUGAAGAACUUUGACUGUCACAAUGAUAAUUGUACUUCUCUUACUUGAUACCCAACUCUUGAAGGAAUUUUUGCAAUUAAGAGUCUCCUUGCAUGCUUUAGUGGCUGCGAUAUCCUCUAUCUCCGUACUGAAAAUGGUGAUACAAUUCUGUAAUUUGUUUUGCCAUAACACUGCUCCCCUUAUAAAAAUUAUCAAGUACCCAGAUGUAGAUAUCCUAUUGUCAAGAUCACCUACUAUAUCUGCAUCUGUGUACCCAUUAUUGAAACACAAACACAAUUUUGAAAGUUCUCUUGAGAUACCUAAGGAUCUAUUUGACAGCAUUGCAAUGCUCUUUACUAGGAUUGGAAAUAUACUGGCUGACGACUCCUGCUACAUGAGCAAUAUUUGGUCUAAUAUAAACUAUAGCAUACAUCAAACUACCAACAAUCAGCUCAAAAGGAACCUUUGUCAUGUCUUCUUUGUUUUUCUCACUUGUAAGACACUACUUGAUACUCAAUUUGAAUUAACCCACAAGUGAAGUAACUUUCUUAACUUUGCUCAUGUUAAACCUGUCAACCACCUUCUCAAUGUAAUUUUUUUGAGACAACCAAAGUUUCUCAUUUUACUUGUCCCAAAAGAUUUUCAUCCCAAAAAUCUGUCUAUUCAGACACAAAUCCUUCAUUGCUUAGAAUUUAUUUAACUCCAUUUUCAACCUGUCAAUUUUCAUAGCAACAUGGCAAUAAUCAACAUGCCAUCAAUAUACAACAAGGGAAUUAUAAAAUCACCAUUAGAAAAAUUUUUUACAUAGACACAAUGAUCAGAUAUAGUCCUAUGGUACUUAUGGUCUGCCAUGAAGGAGUCAAAUUUUUUGUAUGCUGCCUAGAUGCCUAUUUCAAUCCAUACAAGUUCCUUCUAAGAUGGCAUACAUGGUUCUCUUUGCCAUUUAUUUUUAUCCCUUCUGUUGGUUCCAUGUAAAUUUCUUCUUCCAAACAUCAAGUUGCUCAAUCUUUAGAUUCAAACUAUCUGCAAUUCCAAGGACAAUCCAAUUGAGGACUUAUUUGCCAUAGGAAAGAAAAUUUCUUUAAAGUCUACUCCUUUCUUUUGACUAAAUCCCUUCACAACCAAUCUUACCUUAUAUUUUGGCCAUGAGUUGUGCUAUUGAGUUUUCAACCUGUAGACAAAUUUGUUUUUUAGUGCUCUUUUGCCCUUAAACAGUUUCACCAAGUCAUAGGUGUGAUUCUCAUGUAAGGACAUGAUCUCCUCUUGCAUAUCUUACAAUCAGUCUUCUUCUCUUUUAUGCUCUUGAGUCUCACUAUAGGACUAUGCUUCCUUUCCAGCUAUCAACACUUAUUCAUUAGAAUUAUAUAUGAUAGAAGGUCUCCUCUCUCAACUAGAUCACCUAGGCUCAUCUUGUGGUAGUAGAGUUGGCAGUUCCUCUUGCUCAAGUUCAUCAGUAGCAGUAUCAUCACCAUCAAUAUCUUCUCUCUGCUCUAUCUCAACUUCCCUAUGAUCAAAAUCAAUUGGUACUGGAACAAGAUUCGAAUAUGAAGUAGCAGGAAUAUCAUUUGAGAAUCUUGGCUUAUCAUCUUUAUCAAUGCCAUGAAUGGUUUGAUCUUUAAGGAAGACAAAAUCUCUACUUUUGAUCAACUUCUUUCCAAUAACAUCAUACAAUCUAUAGUCAAAAUCUUUAUGUCAAUAACCCAAGAAAAUACACUACUUUAACUUCACAUCAACUUUUGAUCUCUCAUCUUUGGGCAUAUGACCAAAUGCCCGGUAAUAUAAAACUUUCAAGUGUUUAAAGGAUGCAUCUUUCUCUAUCCAUACUCUCUCUAGGAUAUCACCAUUCAAAGGAAUUGAAUGAGAAAUAUUAAUCAAAUCAACUAUAGUGCUCAUUACCUCACCCUAGAAUGAUUUUGGCAACUUACCAUUGGAUAGCAUACAUUUGAUUGCUUAGUGAUGGAUCAUUCAUCCCCUCUACUACUUCAUUCUCUUGAGGAGUUUUUAGUAUUGUCUUCUCUAGUUUGAUCCUAUAGGACUUGUAGUAGUUUUCAAAUGGUCUCUUGUACUAACUAUCAUUGUCAGCAUGAACACACAUUAACUGCUUGCCAAUCUCUCUCUCAACUUUGCUAUAAAAGUCUUUGAACACCUUCAAAAUCUAAUCUUUGGAUUUCAAAGUAAAACACCAAACUUUUCUAGCAAAAUUAUCAAUAAAAGUUAUAAAGUAAGCAUAACCACCAAAAAUCUUAUCUUUCAUAUAGCAAACAUCAGUAUGCACCAACUCUAAUGGAUUUAAUUUUCUAGAUGAAGAAAUAUUUUGAAAUGUAACUCUGUGUUGUUUCCCAUAAAUGUAGUCAACAUAAGGUUUAGGUACAUUACCUCUAAUUUCAGGUAGAAACUGCUUGCGAACAAAUGUUUAAUUUCCUUUUCACUCAUGUAUCCAAGUUGCCUAUGCCAAAGGUUAAUGGAAGAAUCACGAACUGUAUUCACAUCUCCCUUCUCUAACUUGGGUUGCAUCAAGUAAAGGUACUUUGGUUCUUUCCUUUGGUAACAAUAAGAUUCCUUUGCUGAGCUUCCAUUUGCCUCCACUUUGCAAGCUAUGCUAGCCCUUAUCAUCAAAGUUUGCGUGGAAACAAGAUUAAAUGAAUAUCAAAACAUAUCAAGCGUUCUCAAGACCAGCUAGUAUCCUAUCGACAUCUAAAUAUAUGUCUCCAUGUCAACAAGUUUGGACGAGACCUCAUUUUCAUCCUAACAGAGCCAAAGUCUCCUUCAGUGUAGGUUGAGAAGAAAUGCCUGUGAGGGUAACAUGGUAGAAUGCAAUCGAGUCAAUUACCAAUCACUACCAUGAUAGAUAAUAUUCACAUGACUAUCAUCACAUAAUACAAACAUAUCAUUAUUGGUUGCCACAACUGCUAUAGUAUCUUUUUUUAUCUUUUUCCUGCGUCUUUUCUUCGCCCUUUUUCUCAACUUGUUCCUAUUUCAAGAUUCUGCACUCCUUCAUGUAAUGUCUCUUCUUUUUGCAAUAGUAGCAUGCAUCAUUUUUUCGUGACUUUGGAUUUGUCGUUCCUAUUGUGGGUCCUCUGCUUUUGCUUCUUCCCCUUCCUUCUUAUUUUUUCUAUCACUAGGGUUUGGGAUCCAUUCACAACGUGGUUCGUAGCCACGUGCUCUAAUCCUCUGAGCUACAGGCCCCACCUCGUCUCCACUGGAUAUGUUACCGGAGUACCCUCAAAAAAGGGACUCUUUCCCCAACCAUUUUGGGUUAAGAAGAUGUGAAAGCGCGUUUAUCUCUAUAAGAACGGUGCGUUCCGAGGUGGGAAGUGGGAGAGAAGGGAUGUCAUAAUUAGGGUUUUGAAUAAGACGACCUUUUUCUUUUUCAUUUUUUCAUUUUCAUAUAUUGAAAAAGUAAUAAGAAUGAGAGGUCUUAAGCUUUUUAUCAUCCUGGCAUCGAGCUAUUUUUCUGCAGGACCUCCCCUACAGUAUUGUCACCUCAGAUGACUUGACGUCAUCCUCACCUUCCUCCGACUUAUCACCGACAGUCUGUUCAGGGUUCCAAACUCAACGAUGGCAACUAAACACGAGGGUUGCGCUCGUUGCGGGACUUAACCCAACACCUUACGGCACGAGCUGACGACAGCCAUGCACCACUUGUGUCCGCGUUCCCGAAGGCACCCCUCUCUUUCAAGAGGGUUCGCGAUGAACUGUUGGCACCCGUCCUACAUUUUGUCUCUGGGACCGAGGAGAAAGGAGGCUCGGUGGGAAGAAGGGUGUGCCAUGAGAUUCCAACUACAUUGCAUUGCCAGAAUCCAUGUUGUAUAUUUGAAAGAUAAGAUCAGAUAAGUUUUAGAGUAUGAACUCUCGAUUCAAACAUUGAAAUUCUUUGAUAGUCAAGAAAAGUCUGGCUUACUCCCUUUUCUUUUUCUCAUUUUUAAACCUUUUCAGUAAAAAAAAAAAAAAGCCCUAACCCUAUAGGUUAUUAAAUAGGGCCCUCGCAAUAUCUAAUUGUGGAUGUGAAAAAAUUUUUGGUUAGUGAAAAACUCUUAUUCCAAAUGAAUUUCUGAAAAUUCUUUUCUAUUUCCAUAAAGAACCUCAUUUCUUGGUAUCCAAAUAGUACAUGUGUUAGAAAAAUGGAGGAUCUAUUCUCUUUUUUUUUUUCCAAAAAAUUAUCUUGAAUGAAGCGAUUCCCACCAAAAAAAAGUUCACUUAUAUGUACACCUACCAAUUCGACAUAAAUUUCAAGAUAUUUCAUCGAAUCAUAUGAUGAAGAAAUUUUAUUUGUCUUGUUCCCUGAACUAAAUGAAACUUUUUUUUCGAAAAUUUAUGAAUCCCAUUACUAAAUACUAAAUUUAGUAUUUAGUAAUUUCCUUUUUUUUAGUAUGAGAUAAGGGUAUCUCAUCUUAAUAAUGAAUGGA
This 48999-nucleotide long non-coding RNA is filed under the name Coffea arabica (coffee). Its description in RNAcentral is "long non-coding RNA (CARA_LNC000116)". Lineage: Eukaryota; Viridiplantae; Streptophyta; Magnoliopsida; Gentianales; Rubiaceae. The record is from RNAcentral.